ACUGCUGCUGCUGCUCUCGUGUCCGUCCUCGUGCUUCUUCUUCUUCUCCUUCUUUUUCUUCUUCUCUUCACCGUGGGCGGCGCCCUCGCCGCCGCCGACACCGGGGAUCUUCUGCUUGAUCUUGUCCACCAAGCCCUCCUUGUGUUCGCCCUCCUUGUGUUCCCCGCCGUGAUGCUGCUGCUGAUGGUGAACAUCAGUAGUGCCGACACCGGGGAUCUGCUGCUUGAUCUUGUCCACCAAGCCCUCCUUGUGUUCGCCGCCGUGAUACUGCUGCUGAUGGUGGACAUCAGUAGUGUGGUGGUCCCCACUAUGGUGCUCUCCCUUGUGCUUGUCCUCCUCCUUUUGCCCUCCUCCCAUGUGAAGGGCUUCUCCGAUCUUGUGAAUAACUCCUGACAUUUUCCCUUAAAAUGACUCUGUUCCUCUUCUUUUCUUUUCAAUGAAAAAUAGUUGUUUGCGAUCUUCUUCUGGUUGUUGUUGUUCUUGUUGGGUGAUCUUGGCUUGGUAUUUAUAGGCUCCAAAAGGAGGGACUAGAAUUAGGAUUAGAUUAUAGAUUAUUUUAAUACAUUUUAUGGCAAAUUCUGAUUUGGAAAGAUAAGAUUAUCCUUUUGGUUUUCCUUAUUUACCCUUUUGCACCCAUUACGUGUACGCGUCUUCGUGGGCUUUUUGGGUAUUUCAAUUAUAUCGCCAAUGCUAAAUCGACACGUUGCAUAUCAGCCGCGGUACUGCCGUAUGUAGUUGUCCAGAAAUCGAGUCGAUUCUCGAUCGUACAAUAAUUAAAUAAUAUUUCAUACGAAAUGAGUUUAGAUAUAUUUUGAAAAUUUAUUUUUAAUUUAAUUAUACGUGUUAUAUAUUUGUUAAUCGAAUAGAGGUCCCACGUAACAGAGUGUUUCUCUAAUCUUUCAUUGCUUUUAAUUAAUUUUACCCAAAUAAAAAAAAAAAGGAAAAUUUAGAGAGAGAGAGAGAGAUAGCGAAUUAGAAGUUGAUUGUAAUAUCGACACCUGUCAGACAAUCAAAUAUCGUUAGUUAAAAAUCAGUUGUCCAUAGUCAUGGUCAUAGAUGGCGAAAUUGAUACUUAUUUUAAAAAACAAAACAAAACAAAACGAAACGAAACUAAACUAACAGAUGUUGAAAUGCAGUUCCGUGUUAACAGUCUGUGAUGAAUCUUUAUCUUUGAGUAUACCAUUCAAGAAAUUAUCAUUCAAAAAUUUAUUUAAAGCAGCAGCAAAUCACCUUCUAAUUCCUGAAUCAAAUUAAUUCGAUUUUUUUCGAGUCGAUCAAUUCAUUAGAGAAUUAACGGGCUAAGUUAAAGUUUUGUUAGUUAUUUUUUUUUAUAUUCCUUUAGAUGAUAUGAUUGUCAUUGUCUUUCUUUCUCUGGGCAACAAUAAAUACAAGAUGUGCAAAAGCGUAGUGGAACAUAAUUCGAUUAUGGGUAAAGGGAUCAGUCCGCAUAAUGAGGAUAAAGUUUUUCUCUUUAAAAAAAUUUAACCCAAAGAAAAGGUCGUAGUUUGUAAUAGCCGACACGCAGAUAGAUCACAAAGCAUGGCGGUCCUGAUGGCAAUAACUAACUGAUAUCUUCUGCGAUGAGAGGAGAUCACGUGGUUCUGACACGUAUCGCCCCAUCAACUGAUGUUGUGGCUGCAAUCGCGGCCCAGUCUUUAGAGAGAAGAAAGAUCUGUUAUAACGGGACCUACUUUAGCAUCUAUUUACGACAAAGCCCCUAUUUACUCUACUUAGUAGUAAUAAUAGCAAGUGUCGGGCUUGGAUUCCGUGUUGCUUUAAAUAAAUAUCCGCGUAAAAAGAAAAUGCUUCUUUAAUCCCUUCCUUGUAAUUUUUCGACACGUGGAUGGUUGAAAUUAGCGUGCCGACAUCUUAGGAAUUUUAUCUUGGAGACGGGAACACUGCAGUAGGCAAUGCCAUUUUCUUCGGAUGGUGUGUGGUGACAACGCCUUGGAUUUUGACGUGCAAAGAAUUUAAAUUGAAAAAGAAAAAAAGAAAUUACCAGAAUAAGCAUAGAAGAGAUAUUUUUCUUUUUGUCCUUUUUGGAAUGGAAAAAGAGAUCAAGAGAUUGUUCCAGUAAGUAUUACACAUGUCACAGGCUUAUUCAUGCCCCAUUAUGGCAACUUUUAUGCCUCGCGGUGCCCUCGGUUCCAGCAUAAUAGCUAAGACUUCAAUUUUUCUAACAUAUUUUUGUUACAAAUAUGAACGGAGUAAAUGUAUAACUUUAAUCCUUUGAAUAAAGAAAUGGCGGUUCUCCUGCUCGUUAAUCUCACUUGAAUCCCACCCAGGCAAAAUUUCUUUAUUUUAUUUAACAACAAUUUAAAGAAAGAAACUUUUGCCAGGUUGAAUUUCAAGUGAGAUUCAUUCGUGGGAGAAGUGCCAUUUCUUUAUUCAAAAGAUUAUGGUAAUUACAACUUUCAAUUUCGACAUAAAUUAAAAUUAUAGGCUAUACAAUAAAAUUGCCCUAAAUUAGUCCUAAUCAAUUCAGAUUAUAAAUUUAGGUAUAUUUAUUAUUUUAAUAUAUUAAUGUUCUAUAUAUAUAUAUAUAUAUAUAUAUAUAUGUGUGUGUGUGUGUGUAUNNNNNNNNNNNNNNNNNNNNNNNNNNNNNNNNNNNNNNNNNNNNNNNNNNNNNNNNNNNNNNNNNNNNNNNNNNNNNNNNNNNNNNNNNNNNNNNNNNNNNNNNNNNNACAGCAGAAAAUAUUUGCUAUGGAUAAGGAGACAUGGUCCCACGUCCCACCGUCCCAAUGCAUAUUUUGUAUGUUUCCAUCUUUUCUGAAAUUUUAAUAAAUAAAGUUUUUUGACCACUUGGCCAAAGAACCUUACCCUUACACAACUUUGUGGUUGGAGUCCUGUGAUACAUGUAAGAACUUAUUUUUUUUCUUAAUUAUAAUAUUUUAGAAUAUAAUUAAGUGAAGUAGGUUUUUUUUUUAAAUAUGAGUAAAAUAGAUAUUUUUUAAAUAUUAAAGAGAGUAAAAUUUGAAUAAUAAUAUAUUAAAAUUAAUACAAACUAAUUUUAAUAAUUAUUUAAUUAUAAAUAUCAAUUAUAACAUCAUAUAAUAUCAAUUAUAAUAUCGUACAUCUCAAUUAAUUCAAUAAUAAUAAUAAUAAAUGUUUUUUGGGAUAAGUAAACAGUCGCAUGGCGACAAUAGUGGAUCUGGAUUAGAGUGAAGUGGUCCCAAGAGGCUGAGGCUGUGGCUGUGGAGUUCUAAAAGUCAAAAGCUCCACGCACUUUGUUUCAGUACCAUACACACUGAAAAAAUUUGCAUUUGCAAUGACGAAAACUUUUCACGAAAUCAAAACACCUCUAAACUAUUUUGUUAUCGAUAUUUAAUGGAGGGGUUUCCUACCUUUUUAACACUCGAUUCACGCCUUGACGCAUCUCACAGAAAACCUCAUGAUCCCAUUAAUCUUGCGUAACAUAUCUCAAAGCCAAUGCAAGUGAUCUUGUUGCCUACUUCCCUUUGACGAUUCAAAAUUGUUGAAAAUAAUUCUUUUUUUUUUUAACCUCAAGGAAGUGACAAAAUAUAAAAGAAUAUUUUCUACACAUUAAACAUCUAGAUUUUUUUUUCUUUUCUUUUUAGAGUACUUGCACAAACCGUUUCCAAGAGAGACCUUUUUUUUUUUUUUUUUUUUCCGGGCUUGGUUACUAAUUUGGUGUGAAUACUCUAUGGUGAAAAAGGAAUCACAAAGCUGUAAUCAAUUUUUUUGCAUCAUUUAGUUGUAACUUGAACAUUGGGAGGUUUAUAAAGAAUUAAAUUAAUUAUAAUGCCUCUACUAGGAAAAGUUCAGAGUAGCCCUUCACAACUUUUUAAAGGCUUAAUAAUUUUCGCUUUCUUCCUCUCAUAACAUAACAAAAAAUUAAGAGCUUUACUCGUACACGUCCUAUGGCUAUAUAGUAUUGGGUUCUCUACUUCAAUCGGCUAUCUCAAACCGAAGGUUAUUUGGACACACCAGCAGUCACGUUUGGAAACUCUCAAAUGCUUGGAUUGUAAUUCUUGUGGAUGAGAUCAUCUAAAUCUUGGGCCCAAGCCGGACAAUGGGUGGACAAAGAACCCUAAAAUACAGUAAAGCUUCUAACACCCCACUAAAACUCUUAAGAAAUCCUACCUUUUAUUUUUAUAUCUCUUUCUUUUAGAAAUUAUAGAGAAGACAUAGCAUUUUAAUUAUUUUCCCUGCCAUUGAAAAUAAAUUCUGUAAACAUAUUUUUUCAUAAUAAAAUUAUUGUUAUUAGAUAAUUUAUUUCUUCAUUGUUUCAAAAUUAUUAUAAUUUUAUCAACAAAAUUAGUUAUGUCAUAUAUUAGGAUUAAAAUUAAUUAGGAUCCAUAACUUGUAAAGACAUUUUAGUUUAAUUGAAUUCAUAUUUGUCAUUUUAUGUAAUUUUCAAUAAAAAUACGACUAUGAGUGCAAAAGUGGGAUGACAUAAUAUUAAAAGAGUGUGAAAUAAUCGGUAAUUGAAAUGGAUUGAAAUCAUAAUAGAGUAUGAAAAUCAGAAUAAAUUGUUUACUUUAGUUGUAGAAAUCAAAAUUAAAAUAAACCAUAUUAUCAUUGAUGUAUAUAUGUUUUCUUGUAAUCGAAAUGAAUUCUUAUAAGUUACUAUAAGACCCUUAUGGUGUGUUUACUAAUCAGAAAUCAGAAUGGAGUGGAAUUUGAAUAUAGAAUGGUAGGGGUAUUCGCGGAUCGGAUUUUACGGAUUGGACAUUAAUUCAUAUCCGAUCCAUAAUUUUACGGAUUAUAAAUUCUCAACACAAUCCAAAUCCAAUCUAUAUGUUUGCAGAUCGGAUGCGGAUUUGACUCAAUUCAUAUCCAAUCCACUAUUUGACGGAUUGAUUUUGGAAUUAAAAAUUUUUAAUUUUGUCCAAUCUAUGAGGUAAUUAAAUUUAAAAAUCUAAUAUAAAAAUAAUUUAUUAAAUAAAAAAUUAACGUAAAAAUAAUUUUACUACCAAUUAAAUUCAAAAUUGAACAAGAUUUAAAUAAAUUAAUUAUUUAAAUAAAACUAGAAUAAUUUAUUUAAAAUUUUUAAAUAUAACAUAUCGAAAAAAAAUUCAUUUGUUUAGAUUAAUAUAUGAAAAUUAACUAAAAUUAUGAAUUUAAAUGUUGAAAUUUGAGAGCUUGGAUGUAACAGGAAGAAAUUAAGAAACUUGAAGAACUUGAAAAGAAAGUAACAAAUUAAGCUUAACUACCUCUAAUGGUGAAGUGAAACAGUGAUGGUUUGUGCGUGCAAUGGGGUACAAAUUUGGCAUUAUAUGCCAAAAUAUUUUGUUUGGCUUUAGAAUUUUUAAUGUUUAGGAAGCUAUAUUUGUUUAUUUAAUUACUCAAAUAUUUAAUUAUUUUUUAUUUUAUGUUAUUAUUGAAUAAGAUAUAAUAUUGUGUUAAUUUAGCUAUACUUUAAUUAAUUAAUUAAUUUAUUAGUAAGUAGCAUUGCUACAUUUAUAAGUUUUAUUUUUUAUUAAAUAAAUACUUUUUUUUUUCAGAUUCACGAAUUUUUACGGAUUUACAGAAAUAAAUCCAUAUCUAAUCCAUCGACUGUGGUUUUUUAAAUUUUCAUUCCAAUCCGAUCUACCAAUCCACAAAUUAUAUUUUUACGGAUCGGACGAAUUGAGCGGAUCAAAUUGGGUUCUGAACACCCCUAGAGAAUGAGAAUCAAAAUAAAUUAUUUACUUUAGUUGUGUGAAUCGGAAUUGGAAUAAAUUGUACUGUCAUUGAUGUGUUUACUUUAUCUUGGAAUCAGAAUGAAUAAUUUCAAAUUACUAAACUGACCUUAAUUUUUUAUUGUAAUAAUAAUAGUAGUAGUAGUAGUAAUAGUAGUAAUUUUCUAUUAUUAUUAUUAUUUUCUCUCUCUUUUGUUUUUAUUUUUUUAUUUUUCUCUUCUUCUUCUCUUCCUCUUUUUUUAUUUUUCUCUAAUUCAUCGAUACUUCUUCUUCUUCUUUUUUCUUUCGUUUUUAUUUUUAAUUUUUCCCUUCUUUAUCGUUCCUUCUUCUCCGUCCAUUCUCUAUCUUCAAACUCUUUUUACUUUUUCUCUUAUUCUUCAUUACUUCUUCUCCCUUUUUUUUUUUUUUCUCUUCUUUAUUAAUUCUUCUUCUUCUGCGUCUAUUCUUCAUCUUCAAAUUAUCAAGUGAAAAAUACCCACGGUGCCUUACAAGAAGAAUUGGUUUUGUUUGCUUCAAUUAUUUUUUGUAUUUUGUACUUUUGAUUGUUUCAAAAGAGGAUAAACUUGUAAUAAUGCAAUUUAAGUAGGGAUGUUUUAGACAAUUUUGGGUAUGAGAGUCUAAUUCCCAACCCCCCACUCCCUCGUAGCAGACUCCCAUUCUUCAUUCCUAACUUGGUGUUGGACCUACUAAAAUAAAUCCCAUUCCCCUUCUUAUUUCAAGAAGCAAACACGAUUUUGAUUUCAAUUCCCCAAUCCGAAAGUAAACGCACAAAAAUUGUACCCAUAUGAGAUUGCUUAUCCUCGAGUUUUUAGAUUGAAAAAAAAAAAGGAAAAAAGAAUGGCCCCAUUAGGAAGGGAUUUUAAGUGUUAGAUAAAGCCGGUGUUAACCAUUAGAAGGUCUCCGACCUUCAACUGUAAUAUAUUAAACCCAGAUAAAUUUACAUAUAAAUCACACAAACCAACAUGCCAAUCAAAUAAAUUACAUCAACUAACAACAAUUGACACAUUAAUUUUCAUAAUACAGAGGAUGCAGAAAAUUAAAAUGUUUUAUCUUUUCUCCUUAUUUGUGAAUUGGAAAAUGAAAAUGUUAAACAUACAGAAGAGUGAAACAGGAUGGAUAUAUAUACACACACACACACACACAGCUUUGGAGUUCAAUGUCAUCGUAUUGCUCCAAGAAGAUUGGCGCCAUCAAGCUUUGCACCUUCCAGAUGCUGUUUAAUCAUCACCAUAACACCUUCAGUAGACAUUAAUACAUAAUAGAAACACAAAAUUCACAUGAUCUGAAUGUCUGGUCUAUUUUACUUACCGUAUCUCGAAGAUUUACGUGCCGUAAAUAAGCUCUUUGAAGGUUGGCACCCUUUAAAUUGGCAUUACGUAGCUUUGCACCCUGCCGCAUAAAUGUUCGAAGUUUCAACAAAUUAAAGUCUCCUGAGAAAUACAUGUCACGAAAAAGUAGGGCUGAAACUUGCAUCUAAUGUACAAGAUUCAAUCAGGGGUGCUUGUCCCACAGUGAAAGUGUAUGGGGGAAAGUGCACUUUCACAAACCAAAGGGGCAAGAUGUGAUUAUCACACGAUUACAAAAGGACUGUAGUCAAGAGAGAGAACUGAACAUGCAGCUUGUAUUGAGGCCAUGAAAAUUGAUGAAAAGCAGUAACAAGCAACCAUUUUGAAAACACUUCAUAUGGUCGAAUCAAUAAAUCAAAGCUAAAAUGAUGUUGACGAUCGAUAGCUUUUAGGUGAUAAGAGUCUUGGCACUACAGUUAAAAUUAUUAUCUAGGAGUGCACACAUUAAUAAAAAAAAACACAACCAAUAAGCAUGCACUCUUAAUCAGCAUAUAAAUUAACAAGUUAGUUGCACCUUAUGUUGUUCCACAAACAGAUUGCUCGAACAAUUCACAAUCUUACCUUCAAAUUAGCUCCUUCCAAAUUAGCUCCCUCUAGGUUGGCAUUAGUAAGAUCAGCAGUCUGAAAAGUCAAGAGGACAAACAGAUUGCAAUUUGAUUAAAAUCUCAAAGUAGCAACAUUCUGCAUGAAAGAAGAGCAGCACAAUUGGCAACAUACAUUUUAGAUUAAGAGGAUGGGAUAAAAGCAAAAUUACAAGGACAUGAAGCAAAUGAGCCAUGUUUAGUAUGGCAAUUUUGACCCAAUAAUUGUGGCAGGUCUUGGAGAUAACAUAGGCAUACACAUAAGGCAGAAGCAAAUACUGUCGCAAACUCCUAGCUAACUACAAAUGUUCCAUAUAGAAAAAAACACCUGCAAAAGUAAGGGAAAAAGCAACAGAUAAAGAACUCAAGAUGCUAGACCUGUAAGUGUGCAGAUCGCAGGUCUGCUCCACAGAAGCUGCAGUCUAUCAAGCAAGCAUCUGCAAUGAUUUAAGAUAAAUUUGAAUCCAAAUGACAUUUUACCGCAAGUAGUUCCAGCCAUUUUGGGAACAAACAAGAAAUGCUAUUUUGUAUUCAUUGUAAUUCCUUAAGCUAAAUAACAAUCAUGUGCUAUCUUAACCAAGGUACAGUUGCAAAUUCUGAAAUUGUGAUGCCAUAGGUUGUUCUUAAUCUUUUUGAACUGAAUAUUGAAAAAAUAUUCCUUCAAUCAUAAAUGUUAAAUAAUUAAAAGAACUGUGAGGGGGGNNNNNNNNNNNNNNNNNNNNNNNNNNNNNNNNNNNNNNNNNNNNNNNNNNNNNNNNNNNNNNNNNNNNNNNNNNNNNNNNNNNNNNNNNNNNNNNNNNNNNNNNNNNNNNNNNNGGGGGGGGGGGGGGGGGAAUGAAUAAGCGGAUGCAUACAGAAAAUUAUGGAAAAUCUGUUAUGGAAAUAAUAUGAAAAUGGGUAUGCAUAACUACAUACUGAAUCUUGACUAAUUUCAAUUUAAUUCAGAUAAGAAAUUCCAGUAUGGGAAUUGCCUUGUAAAUUUGCACUCUGAAGAUUUGCACCAGCUAGUAAAGCUCCACGAAGGUUUGCCCCAGCAAAUUCACAUCUUCCCUAGGCAAGAUAAAACCCUUAAAAGGCAAUUUUGAAAAAUACAUAUAAUUGGGAGAAUAUCCAGUAUUGCUUUGACUCUCUUACUCACGCAAAGUUGCAUUGUGAAAAAUGGAACCCUCAGCAUCCACAUCCUGUAUCAAGAACAGACAGAUUCAGUAUGAUUAAUAUAACUGGUUGCUGGAAGACAGGACAAAAUCGCAUCUUGUCACUGUCAACUUGCAUGUUAAGAAUUAAACACGAAAACUGCAUGCUGUCCAAUUAUAAGAAACCUAUAAAAUUCAAAUCAACAUCAAUACUGGCUUAAGGAAGAUAUAAAAAUAAAAAUUAUACCAACCCGAAAUUUCGCAGAUUGAAGAUUUGCACGUGAGAAGAAAACAUUUCUAAGACACGCAUAGCUGAAGUCCACAAGUGAAAGAUCCUGGCCAUUUUAAUAAGAUAGCAUCAGAGGAAACAAUAUCUAAUGAAUAUAUAAUGUUCUUUCUUGCUUAUCUGAGAAUACUAAUGAGAUUAUCAAAAAAACUCUAAGCUACUGCUAAGAAGUCUUGUGUUACAUGAGUAUGAAUUGAGGAGGUAAAGAAGACCCUUCUCCAAUAAGUUACCAUAGAAGCCACAUAAAACCCUAAAGCAGUUACAAACUUACAAUGACCAGAAUAAACCACCCCAACUAUCUAUUGGCAAGUAAAAUCACUUCUCUGGAUUUCUGAAAACUAGCAAAACAAAUGCAUAAAUUGGCAAAUUCGAUGAUUUCCUCUGAAAACCAAAUUAUAGCAGACAUAAAACUUGGAAGUAUUCAUAGAAUAAAAAUCUUUCAAGCACCUCAAUUCAGUAAUUAUUACCAGCUUAGAAAGAUCAAGGCCAGAAAGAUUAAGUCCUCGAAAUCUGACUUUUUCAGACUGUAUACACUUGAUGAUAUCAAUGCGUGUUAGCUCAGUAUCUAACUCAUUAUCUUCCUUUCUCUUAUUUAUGACAGCAUGGAUUCUCUCAAUUAGUCCCUGAAAUGAAACACAUUAGAUGCAAACUAUUAUUUGAAAAAAGAAAUACAUUUUAUCCACUAACACACAUGGAUUUCAACAGCAAUCAUACAAUAAUUGAGGAAGGACGGUCAUAUCAGACUCAUCUGCCAAGAUUCAAUAAGCACAUCAAACUUGUUUACAUGUAAUUUCCACAUUCCACGUGAAUUUAUAAGGUCUGCCUAAGCAAACCAAAGAAGGCUACACUCAGUACUGUGUGUAUACUGCCUUACCUUUGCUGUUCCCCAGAUACCGUCCUGCAAUCCAGAUACUUAGCUGUGAAGUUUCAAGCCAGCGAAACCAUUUUAAAAGUACACAUGGACACAGAUACCAUUAUCUGAAUCAUCUUCGAUAACAAAUUAAAAUGCCCUAGCGUUCAAAAAACUUAGGAUCUCUUUAAGUGAAGUUCCUUUAAAAAAGUAGAAAAAAACUGAACAACAAUGUCAUGCUAAUAAAAGGUAAAAAAAAUAAAAUAAAAUAAAGCAUAAGGACAGAAGUUCACCAGGAGCAUGCCAGUAUAAACCAAAACGACCACAAAUCUCAACCAUAAAAUUUAAAGUAGUAAAGUAAAUAAUCAAGGGCAUGCAGUUGGCACAGGUGCUUCCAAAUAAAAUGAUGAUUCUUUUCAAACAGAAAAAAGAAAUGGAUGUUAAUAAACUAGAAGAAACCAUGUCUUACAAGUAAUUGAUAAUAUUCUGCUUCCCGUAGAAGCUCUAAAAACUCUGACUCUGUUAAUGUGGGGACAGCCCCAUCCCUUAACCAAUUCAGAAUAUGCCGAAAAUGUUUUCCGUCCCUAUCAACAAAGAUAUAGCCCUGCAAUAAUUCAAUAUGCUCAAAGAUAAGAAUCUGAAUAAUAUACCCAAGAGAAGUGCUUUUCCCUGGAAUAAUAAAAAGAAAAUAAGUCAAAACGUUUUUCUUAAUGGAAGAACACAAAGGAACAGCUCUAUGACUAACAUGAAAACCAUAAAUCAGAAUAAGAACCCAAAACUGGUCAUUUGGAGUUUCACCAGAUCAAAAAGAUCACAUGGAAAUAAAAUUGUGAAAAUGGGAUUAUUUAUGCCGAGGUCAUGGCUAAACUGCAAUCAUUACUCCAUUUUUGGUAGAAGGAGAAGAAGAAAGAAGAGUAGGUGAGUCAUCAUUCUUUCAGGUGAGUCAUCAUUCUUUCUCUGUGAUUAAUUGAUAUGAUGGAAGUGUUGUAGAUAUUAAUUUGAUAGUGAUUCCUCCCUUCAAAAGAAUUCAUUCCUUUUUUUAUUAUUUCACAAAGUUUAACUAAGACUGAGUUUUCUCAAUUUGAAGGCAUCGUGCACUCUACCCCUUUCUUUUCCUCACAUUGCUUCUUCCCAAUCCCAAAGGGAAGAAAUCAAGAAACAAUUACAAUUUUUAACUAUUCACCAGCAAAAACAAGGCAAAGAAAGAUGCUGAGUGUAAGCAAAAAUAAGAGAGUUAUACACCUCAGAGUCUUGGCACACAGUAUGGCGACCGCUGAACAUAGCUGCAAGCAUAGAUUCAGGCUCACGACGAGUCAGAGUAUCAAUUGUUGUAUAAAAUUUCUUUCCCCCUGGAUAUUAAUACAUAAAAUAUAAAUUUGUUCACUUAAAAGCAUGAAUUGUGCAAAUUUGUCAAUAAUGUCAUUCUUUCACAAACGUUCACCGAAAUGUAUAACAAUAAGUGCAUCAUAACAUAACUAAACGGCUUAAGAACUGCGCAGAUAUUACAUACAGUAGAGAAACAAGAAAUAGAAAAUGAGAUUUGCCCUUUUUAAACAGAAAGCAAUCAAAGAGUAAACUAAAGAGCUAAUAAUUCACAAAAUUCAGUUGAUUAAACUCAUUUACAAGUAAUUAGCAACAAAAUCCAAGCUAAAUAAAAAUAAUGAAAAUUAGGUUCUUAUAACAUCCGUCAAUUCUAUGAAAGUUUACCACGAUCAGCAACAAAUAGAUAAAUCGCAAUAAAGAAAAACCGACGACAUGUCGGUUGUGUAGUGCAUAAGUAAAGGAAUUUGCAGAUGAUGUAAAGAGAAUGAGGGAUAGUAACUGACCGAUGUUGAGACGAACCAUUGAAGACGAAUCGGAGUCCUUCGCCAUUGUCGAGUGUAAUGACUUGUCGUCUUACUUGCGCUCAUAGGUAUUUAUAUCAUAGCUGACACUGUUCGAAGGACAGCAAGGAUUUGGUGGGCACAAAUGCAUUUUGGAAAUUGGGCUUCGGCCCAAGAAAUCGAAAAUCAGAGGCUUUUUUUUAAAAAAAAUUUAAAAGGAUUAGAAUGUCUAUAAAUUAAUAGGGCUGAGACCAUCUUAAAUCUAUUAAGUAAAAGAGAUAUUAAAUAUUUUAUUAAUUAAUAAUUUAUUAAUUUACAGAAUUAUUUAUAAUUCAAUUAACAUACAUUUAAUAACUAAACAUUCAAUGUACAUAAUUUCUGAUUACAAUUCAAAGCACUAACAAUACUUCAUAAUUUCUUAUUACAAUUCAAGAAUUCAACCUCAUAGCUUUUAGAUGCAAUAAGAAAAAUAAGAAAUAAGAUUCAGUUAUAUUUAAAUUUUAAGAAAAAAACAAUAAAAUCAUAUUUUAUGUAAUUAAAAUAUCAUAGUCAACUACAUUUGUAAUUUCAACAAAUUAUUACUCUAUGAUUUAAAUGAGACCACAAAGUUAUAUAAGAUUUUAUCGAAAUUAUUAAUUUAAUCCAUUAGUCCAUGUCAAGACCUUGAAAAUUUAAUAAUUAUAUAAUAGAGAUUAUUAAUUUAUCGAGUAUUAAUUUAUAGAAGUUCUGAUUGUAUAUUAUUUUAUAUUAAUAAAGAAUAAAGUAGCAUUCUUUUUUAAUUCCGAAGUAAUAAAAUUAUGGCUAAAUUAAGAGAGUAGAUAUAUUUUAUAACUUGGUUUAAUAACAUCACGCGCCUCCCUUGUAGUUUUGCAGCUUUGAAGCUUUAUAAUGAAUCCUAUUAGCUUUGGCUGGAAAGUUAUAUUGUUAAAGAGAGUUUAUAUAUUAAACAAGGUGAUCUAAUAUUUCCAAAACUAAAUUUGGGAUCAAAAAUAGAAAACAUUUGCAUGUUUUUACCUUUUGGAAGAAUUACUUGAUAAGUGCUUCACAGAAAAAUGCUUGCUAUUAUAGAGCACCCUAAAAAAAAUCCUUAAUAAUUGAGGGAUCAUAAUAAAGUUCAAUUCUAAAUCUGUCAGAUAGAUCGAAAGUAACAAACCAUAUAUAUUUAAAUCUAUUUAGUAAUCCAGGGUUACAAGCCAAGCGUGCAAUAGCCAAUUCUGAAAAUCAAAGCUCAGCCUAUGCUCUCUGAGCACAAAUAAGAUCUGAUAUAUACAUAUCGAAUCCUCCAUUAUGUGGAGUGAAAUUUCCAUCGUGUACGGUGUACCUAACAAUGAGAAAGCAUGGCAGCAUAAAUUCAUCUUCCAUGUUAUUCUACUUAUUAGUACUGGUUCCCUCAUAACUUCUCCAAAUCGGGGAGGUCUGCAAUGUGUAAAGCACGUAAUCAGAUAAAAGAAAGAGAGCCAAAAAAAAAAAAAAAGGUAACAGCCAAAAGAUUAAAUUUCUUUGAGAAAUAGAAAAUGGGAGCUUUUGGCAUAGGCACAGAAUAGAAAGUAACAGAGUCAUUUACAGUUGUUCAGAAUAUGCAAGCUGAAAACAACUUUGAAUGCAAUGGACAAUUCCUCCAACAAACAAUCGAAUUGGAUUGUGGAAGAGACAAAAGCUUAAUGAGGUUAUGGUUUUGGCUAGGUGAACUCAAAAUUCUUUUAUAGACCAAGUAGGUAAAAACAAAUCCCAUAUAGAUGGAUGAACCUCAUACCAUGAACAGUUAAUCGCGAACACUUGCAGGCUUAUGCACACGACUAUGAAGAUACUAAGGGUUUCACCGAUGGUAAGUGAAAAAUAUAUGAUGUAUAAUUUAAAUGGAAGCACAUAGUUUCGGAUUGAAUUCAAGGUUAAAGUUCCACAGACAGACAGAAGAGAUGAAGCUUAAAAACUUACAGAGCAUUCCUUCAUCAUCACUGCUUUCAUCAUUUUGGCCAACAUGCUGAAAAAAGAAUAUGAUUCAAGUUAAAUGAUUGAGCAACAAUAAAAAACGUGCAAAAUUAAUGCUCUCUCCACAAAAAUUUCAGUCUAUAUUGGUAAGAAGAAACAGGAAGAAAAAAUUACCUCAGCAUCAUCGUCAUUGGAAGCCAAAUCAGCUGUAAAGACCACAAAAUGUUUGGUUAGAACCAGUGGAAGUCUUACUCUAAAAUUUUUAAUUUUUGAAUUUCGAAAGAUCUCGUAAUGACAAAGAUUUUCAUAUCCAGUGACCAAGUUUUGAAAAUUAGAAUACGGAAUGACAUCAACUAAAUUCACUAAUAUAAGCUAGAGGAAUCCCUAGUAGAUAUAGCGCACAUGCACACAUGAUAUGCAUCCGAAUACACAAUAAUAAAUUAUCUCAAAGUCAAUAAGAAGCCAAAAUUAGAGAUAAACUUUUAGCCACUAUAAGGAAGACUGAUAUUUGCAGUGUGAUUACAAUAAACAAACAGAAACUUCACUACCCAUAAGUAAAACAAAAUAAAUAAAGGAUAAUAACUAACCAAGAAAUGGAAAAGCUCACAUUCUCUGAACACGCACCCCAAAAAGAAAGAAAGAAAUAAAUGUUCUCAUUGGAUCUGAAGCACAAGCAAUCCACUGACAUCCUUCUAUAAUUAGGUAAUUUAAAGGGGUUAAGCUCACAUCUUUUACGGAAGUAAGAAGAGAAUUAACAACCUUCCAGAGGAUUUAGGGAAAUACCACGAGGCAAGAAAAAAGAAAUAUCCUUCUUCAAUCUAGAUAUCCUGAUACUGCUCACCAUCUACAACAGUCUGUGGCUUAAAAAGCAGGUCACUGAUCUCUCCCUCCCUCUGGCACCAUUUUCUCUCAUGUCUCAUUUUUCCCUUCCUGCCAACUCCCACUACAGUAUUGAAACCUAUUCUAUCAACUCUUCCCCCUCCAAUAACAAGACCAAAACCAAUUUUACUCGCCGGUUAGCUAGGUAGUAAAUGGAAAUUUGUGAAUCUGUCAUUCAUCCGUAGAAACAAACCAGAACUGCAUAAAUUCUCUUCUCUCCCAACAGCUUCUUUUCUCCAGAAAUAGGCACAAGUAUUUGACAUGGAAACAGUUUAUCUAACAUGGCCACCUUUAAAGACAAAGACAUACUAAGGACGUGGUUUUAGAUACGGAUACAAGAAACAAUCACAAAAUGUAAAAUCUAUACAUAUGAUAUUAAUUUCCAAUGGAUACAGCAAUUCAUUCUUUGACAUAACUUCAUCAGAUUACUAGGUUUGAUUAGGUUAUACACACAUUUAUUCAUUUAUUGAAUCUACAUGCACUUAGAAUGAGAGGUACCUAUAAAAACAAGUUACCAGAAAACAAUACAGCUAGAAAACAUUAAUCUAAGUAGUUCUAUAGGUUUAACUAACUGCAGGAAAAAACCAUUGAUUUUGUCCGCCAGAUUAUCGAGAUCCUAAUUCUGGUAAAAAGAAAAUGAGAUAAUAGAAAAUCAAAAAUUAAAUAGACACAAAAUGAGAAAUCAAGAUCAUAUGGCAACUAAUAUAUAGCAUGGGCUGCAGCUAACAAGCAAUAUAAGCCAUGAUAUUAUGCCAGAUACAAAUUUUGAGAUCCAAGAGAGAUCAAGAAGCAUGAAUACCACUAAAAUAUCGAAAGAAGUGAGUGCAGAAGGAUAAGAAAUCAGGUUGAUAUUCUUCAUACUUUGGAUCAACACGUAGUGAUGCAAUAAACUUGUAAUUAGCUUCAAAUGUAUAGGCUACCAUGUCAACAUUUCCGAAAACACACAAGAUUGUGCUGGAUUCAUACAUAGUACAUAUAUAAAAAAACAAUCUGCUUCUAAACUUCAUGAGAACAUCGAAUAAUGAACUUACAAUUUGAUCCCUCAUCAUCUUCAUCGCACCAUUUGUUCCAAUCAACCUUAAUGUAAGGUGCUGGUUUCUCUUCUGACUUGAGUAGCCUUUUCCACCAACCUUUCUCUUCUUUUUGGACCGAGCAUAUUAUGUUCCUUAAGCCAACUUUAGUCUUACAUUUCUGCACCACCAGCAACAAAACUCAAAGCAUUACAAAAGAGGUAUAUUUAGCCGCUCUUGACUCGAGUGAGAGAACAGGAUAAAUAGCCUAGGUAUAUCCACAUCCAUGUUAUGAGAUUGAUUAUGCAACAGCUAACUUUAAUAUAAAGCUUUUGCUUCAACAAAGACUAAAAUGUUUGUAAUUGUUAUGCUUUUGGAGCUAAAAUGUUUGGCAAACACCCACUUUUACUCUGCACCUAAUAUCUACCACCCACCCACACACUAAGUCUCUCGUUUGGUACAGCUAUUUAUCAGUAGUGGCUUUAAGCCACAACAUUUAAAGCGAAUUUACCCUAAAAUUUUACAAUGAAAAACCUAUACUACCUUUAACAUUGUUGUCAAAAUUAUUAUUAUAAGUAAUAUUUACCAAACACUAUCAACUUCCAAUUCAUAUCAAAGAGCUUUCACUCCACAAUAGCCGUGUCUUCUUAAGCCAGAACAACACAAUACCAAAGGCCUUAAGCUAGUGAUUUGAUUUCACAACAACUGCAGAUCAAGCCUCAAUCCCAAACAUACAUAAAUCAAAUGCAGAAAGCAAAAAUUUAACAAUAUGUUUGGUAUACUAAAUGUCUUUCAUAGUUUCAUUUCACAGGGUAUUUAGACAUGCAAUGAUAAAUUGGAGCAAUUUCAAGAACCGAAUUGACCUCAGGUAAAAUUUUGCCAAAAAGUUCCAAGCUGAAGUCGUAAAGCUCGCCUUGGACUCCGACGGCCGAGAAGCCAAAAAUCCCCUGAGGCUCGCAUUUCACAGAAAUGUCUUUCGCAUCGGGUAAUGAAAUGGUAAGGUAUACUUUAUCGGAGCGCUGAGCCCAAAGAACCUCCGGAUGGCGACUGAACAUAAAAGAAAUAAUAAUAAUAAUAAUAUUAUUAUUUUUUAUUGUGACAAUUUUGAACUAAUAAUUAGAGACAUUUAACAACAAUAUUGAUUAAUAUUGGAGAAGAAAAAUAAGGUUACAAGAGAGAAUCAGAAAGAUUACCUCAUUCUGGUGGAUGAUUGAAAACGGUGGGUCGAUUGAUGAACAGAAGUGUAACUGUCUGGGAGUGAGAGUGACUCUGCUGUUUACUGGGUAGAGUGUGCUUACUCGAAGAAAUUGAAAGUGAUAAUCUCGGGCAAGCCAACACGUCGAUUUGGUCAACAGUGGUCCAACAAACCAGGAACUAGGUUUUUUUUUUUAAAUGAUUUUUUUUUUCAGUAUUAUAUUGCCCCGCCCGUGGGCUAUUACAUUUUGGCCCUUUUGGGGACCCCUCGUUCUCUUACAAGAAGGGAAUAUUCUUUUCCAUCCACCGGUUUGUAGGCAGAGUACAUAUACUCUUCGAAAUUAAGGACAAAUUUCUGAAUCGUGCCGCAUUAGAAUUAAAUUGAGUCUCAAAAGAAUUUUGGUUAUAAGUAUAUCGUUCAAACGGUAAUAUAUUAAAAAAAAUAAUAUUUACUACAAUGUAGACCUAUCGGGACUUUGAAGCCCAGACCAAUUCUUGAGUCUAGCCUAAUAACACCUCAACAGAUCAAAAUUGAAAUCCAACUUAAAUUUCAAUAUUGUGUAGGGAUCUGCCUUAAUUUAGAUAUGUCAAGACCUGCCUUAGGCAUCAAAGUGAUCUAUCUUAACAUAACUAAGACUUUCUUUAAACAUCACAAUGAUUUAUCUUAACGUAGUCAAAUCUAGCCUAAAAAAAUCUAAAGAAGGAAAAAAGAAAUUAUUUUCACGUAUUGAGAGACUUAAAUUCUUAACCUUAUUCAUAAGAAAAAAAAGUGUAUUACUUAACUAAAUCGUGACUAAAAAUUAUAAUUAUUAUUUUUUGUACAUUUAGCUUUAAAAAAUCAUUAUAUAUAUAUAUUCAUAUAAGUUUUGACAUAAUAUACAUACCACUUAUUUGUUUUUUAAAUUAUACGAGAAUGAAAAAACUCAAGCAUUAAACACCAACUUUUGUUUCAUGCUAUCAAUCAACUUGAGAAAUUUUAUAAUAUAUCGGAAGUUCUACGUCACAAUUUAAUACGAAGCCUUCGAUUAAUAAUAAUUAGACACAUGACAAUAGAUGCUAGAGAAAUUUUAAAUUCCCUCUUUUCAUUAUCCCUCCAAAUUUAGAAUUUCAAAAAAUUAGAGAAUAAAUGUUGCUUGCUCUCUUUGUUAUCUAAUUCUAAUUAUUAUUUUUUUCUCUCUCUCUCCAAUCAAGUUGCUAGCAUUUUUUAAAUCUAUUGAAGAAUAAGAAGAAGGUUUUUGUCGAUGAAAUGAUUUUGGCAGCCUUUUUUACCCAAAGCUAACAUGAUUGCUGCGACUACCAAUGAAGAAAAAGAUGUGUUUUGCUGGCGAAGAAGAUGAUUUUUGAAGCAUGAGUGGCUGCCGUUUAUUUUUUUCCUUCAUAUUUUUCGAUGUAGUGGCUGUCCUCAAGUUUUAUUCAUUUACUUUUCAGUUGGCCUACUAUUUAUUGGCAUAAUGAAAAAUUUUAUUUUAAUAAGCAUUUAUAGAUUAAUUUGAGGAGGUUUCUUUUGCAAUAUUAGUGUGGUUUCUGCAUUGGUAUGAUUUAAAUUACGAACUUGCUACAAUCUUUAAUUAAACUGUCAAAAGUAAUUUAAAAAAUCUUUAAUUAAACCGUCAAAAGUAAUUUAAAAACUGACAGUAGAUAGAUUAGAGAUAGGCUUGACAAUUUAGCCCGACUCUAUUUUUAGUCUGAUUGAUCCGAUCCUAAUUUUUAAGACUUUGGCCUGAAUUUUUUGAUUUCGGGUCGGGUUCGGGUCAAAAUUUUAAGGCCCGAACAAAUUUAGGGUCAGGGUCGGACUUAAAACCAACCCGACCCGACCCUAUUUAAAAAAAAAAAAACUAACACACGCACACAACACAUGACAGUUCACUCUCUCUAAAUCGUAAAUCACACACACAAAAUACACUUACACAAAUUCACAAAAACCCUAAGCCAGCCACCCAGCCUGCUGCCGUCCUAUCAGCCAACAUCGUGACCGUCCGCCGCACGCCAGCCAAUCAGCCGUCGUCUCGUCGUCGCAUGUCUCACCAAUCAGCCAUCGUGACCGUCUGCGACGCUGCGACAUGAACUUGAACCAGCCGCCCUUUGUCGCCGUCCUGCCGCAUCCGCCUGCCAGCCAACGAUCAAUGCACACAGUUGAAUUGUGGGGUGGGAAAUGGUUUCGAUAGGGUCGGGCUCGACCCGACCCUAACUAUAAAGAGGUAGGGCUUUUUUAGGGUCGGGUUUUAAUUUUUUGUUGAUCGGGUCGGGUCGGGUUUGGCCAAACCCGAGCCCGACCCGACGUUUUGCCAUCCCUAAUUAGAGAUGAAGAUUGGAGAGAGAGAAAAAUAUAAUUUGAAUGAGAUAAUAAAGAGAGAAGAAAUUCUAUAAUACAUCAUAAGUAAUAUAACUCAUUGAUGUAUGCAUGAUAUAUGUAAUUAACCUUAAUAUAACUAACACUUGUAUGGUGAUAUUUCAAAAUAAAUAUACAUAUGUUAUAAAAUCAUUUACUUAUUGUAUGACUGACAUUUUAUUUUUGAUGUAUUGUACAAUUUCUCAGAAGAGAGUAGUAUUUAUUAUCUCUAAUUUUUUGAAAUUCUAAAUUUUGGAAGGAUAAUAGAAAGAGAAAUUUUAAAAAUUUUUCAACGUAUAAUGCCAUGUAUCUAAUUAUUAUUAGUCGGUGUUCCACGUUAAAACGUAAUAUAGAACCUCUGGACCUUACUGUAUAAUGUACUGUAGAAUUUCCUGAUCACACACUUUCUCAGUUGCAAAAGAGGUGGGCAUAUGAGUUCCUUACGGGGAUUUAGUGUGAAUCCACGCAAAGCCCAUAUAGAUUUUUCCGGUUAACCGCUAUGGCAUCCUAGUUUUAAACUCAGUACUAAAUUUACAGAUCCAUUUAAACCCCCCAAAUCAGUCUCUCACCGUCUCAAGUCUCAAACAAAAAACCUGACCGGAACCCAAACCGCCAAAUCCGAUUCGAUGGUGGACUGUGCUAAAACCCCUAAAAUUCCAAGACUGACAUGCGGUAAAGGAGAUGGUGAUAGACUUAGCAAUCUUCCGGAGCACAUCAUUUAUCACAUAUUCUCGUUCAUGGAAACAGUUGAUGUUGUUAGAGCAAGCACUGUUUCGCGAAGAUGGAGGUACUUGUGGCUUUCCGUUCCUUAUUUGAACUUCGACUAUCACACAAUUUGGUCAGACCCGGAAAGUAGAUGGUCUCGUAGGAAAAUCAAUGAUAAGUUCAAAGAUUUUGUCAACUGGGUAAUAUUUUCUCAAAAUGGGUCUGUUAAUAUUCAAAGAUUUCGUCUUUGCUGCUGGGAUUAUUUAGCAAGUUACGAUAACGAUAGAACGAUUUACAGAUGGGUUUCUGCUAUGGCACGUCGAAACGUGCAAGUGCUUGAUCUGGCUAUAGCUUCACUAUACCCAUUUGAGUUUGACUUGCCACAUAGUCUUGUAACUUGUGAUUCAUUGGUGGAACUGAAGUUGAGUUUGAGCUUUCAUGUUCACCGAUGUUUUUUAAAGCUGCCUACUGCUGCUGGUUUUAUUGGGCUCAAGUCUCUUGAUUUACAAAGUGUUGCGUUGGAUGAUAAUUUGUUUCCUGAAUUUAUUUCAAAUCUUCCCCUGCUUGAGAAUUUGUGUAUGUUGUCAUGUGUUUUUCCUGAAUUGAAGGUUCUUGACAUUUCUUCCACUAAUUUGAAGAAUUUGGCUCUGGAAUCCAUUGUUGGCAAUGAUAAUGCUGGCAAUGAUGAUGCUGGCAAUGAUGAUGCUGGCAACUACAAGCUUAAGAUUGCUUGUCCAAAUCUUGUGUCUUUUAAUUAUAUAGCUUUAGCUCCAUGGUUACCUCACUUUGCUUUUGAGAGCUUAAACUCCUUGCAAAAUGCAUUCAUUGACCUGGAUGAUUAUAACGAGGAUGACAUGGAGAACGAAAGAUGUCAUGUUUUAUCUACAAUCUUCAAUGACUUUCGUGAAGUUAAAGUUUUGAAAUUAUCAGAAGCCAUUCUUCUCGAGGUAUGAUUUCAAAUACAUUCAUUGCACCAAAUCAUGAUUCUGCCAGAACUUGUCUACACUUUUUUAUUUUGACAUUAGAAAUGAAGCUUAAGUAAACUGAAUCUACUUUCUUUGUUUGGUAAAAUAAGAAUUCUAUUGAUUAUGGAACCUUCCUAAAUGCUAAUUUGUUCUUUAGACUGUGUAUAAGUCAUUGUGACAUUGUAUGAAGUCUCAUUUAUCUGAGUAAUCAAUUGUUAUUGAUGUCAAAGACUAGAACUCAUUGGUGACUUGAGUUUAUGUAUAUUAUCGUUUGUUAGAUUUUUUGUGUGAUUAUUGCACUUAACUUGACUAAUGUAUUCUCUUUCUUUUUGCCAUUGUUCCUCCAGGUUCUUGAUCCUGAUCCUGCUCACGAAGAACCAGCAUUUUUUUCCACUUCAUUCAAUAAUUUGAAGUCCUUAAUACUUUCUGCAGGUCCGGGUGUAUGUCUCAUGCCAUCAAUGCUUAGGUUGCUCAACUGCUCUCCAAAUCUAGAAGCUCUUGCAAUAUAUUCUCCUAAGGUAAUCUUAACACCAAAAACUAUUCCAUUUGUUAGAUACCGUCGCUUCUAUCCAUUUUUUUUAAAAAUCAUAUCUCCCAUUUAUGUGCUAAAAUUUUAAUUUUGUUAAAGUGCAACUGGGCUUUGCUUAAAUUAUCGCAAUAGAGUUGAAACCUGAAAGUAUUUGUGAUAUAUUAUGUUUACCGCUUAGAGCUUAAAGUAAAUGUUAAUCUUGUGGCCUCUUGGUUGUUCCCAUGCUAUUGCUUGUUGAGCAGAUGGUUGAAUUUAGAGUCAAUCAAUCGGUUGUGUUCUUCUGAGGUUUGUGCAAGUUUUGUAAAAGAGCAAAGUUUAGUAUUUGUUUAGUUUGUGAAAAUGAUAUAGCUUUUUCUAAUUCAUCUUACUCUAUUCUUUGCUUAAAAAUGAAUUCUCCUUUUGAUUUGAUUCCUUGACUGCAUUUCGGUCUGUUUUCUCUUGGCAGCAUCGGCGUGGAUAUAAUGCUUAUAGGAAAACACCGAACAAGGCUGCUAUUUCAUGUUUGACAAAUCAUCUCAAGACAGUUGAAAUAAAACAUUUUAGCGGUGAUAUGAAUCAACUUGAAAUUGUGAGGUUUCUUCUAAGGAAUGGACAUGUAUUGCAGAGAAUGAGUAUUAGAUGGGUGGCAGAUGUUAAGAAUCAAGGGAAGAUUAUCUCAAGGAUAAUGAAGUUUCGGAGAUCAUCUUCAAGUGUUGUGCUGAAAUUCCUAGAUCCUAAGCCAGCUGAUGAUUUUUCAGAUUAUUUAUUUGAUGAUGAGCAAAAGAACUAAAAUUAUGUUUAAAUUAAAAAAAAAAAAAGUGGUUUAAGUGUAUGUUCGAAUUAAAUAGUCUUUUGGAUUUGUAGAAACUGAAAGGAGUACAGUGCCAGUCACUGUGGCAGCCUUAUGUUUUGUUUGAAAAAAUUCGGAAGCUUCUAAAUUGUUAUAUACCUCAAUUCUGAAGUCGUUAGUAUGUAUAUUAUAAGCAAUACAUAUGUUCCAUUUGUCAUAUUUUAUUUUGGCAUUACGAUUGUUUUGUCUUGAUUAAUAUUGAUUAUAAUUUGUUUAACAUUUAUCUGGCAUAUGUAGAAUUAUACUUUAUCUGAGUAGAUGACGCUGCUGCGUACAUCUUCAGGACUCGGUCAUAAACUGUUUAUCUCUGCGUCUGUCUAGCAUCCAUCCACGUAUGACCUGUCGGCUUUUUGCCCGCAAGCAUACAGUUAGGGGUGGUAAAAAUAUCUGUCCGGUCUGGAUUCGGUUCGCACCCGGAUGUUUUAUCCGGCCCGGUCUUGGGCAUCAUUUGAUAAAUUCGGAACCCGAGUUUUAUUAAGCGCCUUGGCCGUACAGCAGUAUAUUAUUUUAAAUAUUUAUAUUUAUUUGACUCAUUUAUUACAUAUAUAUAAAGUUUUAGACACUUAAAGUUUAUAUUUUCAUGUCAAAUUUCAUUAAAAUAAAUUUAAAACUUAUAAAAUUACCAAAAAAUAAAAAAUAUAUACAUAUAUAAUAUUAAAAAAUAUAAAAUCUGGGUACCCAAAUUAAAACCCGGCACAAUCCGACCCAGGCAUCUAUGCAUCCGGGUCGGGUCCGGUCAUUACGAUACCCCGACCCAGCCCAGGGUUUUGCCAUCCCUACAUGCAGUGUAUAUGAAUUGCAGUUCUUGUACGGACAACAUGUCAUCCAUAAAACUCGAGUUAUGUUCUUUUUAAUCUUUAGUUUAGAUUACAUUUUGCAAAACUAAUAAACGAUAGAGCUCCUAGCAAGGUCAAUAGUUAACUGCGAAUCCAGAAGAUCGGAAUGCUAUACCUUUCAAACAUGCAUUUCAAAGCCAUCUGCGGAAAUGGAAAACAAGCAUUUCAAACUCGUUGUUAAAACAAUGAUAAAAGUAAUUUUAAUCCUAAUUUUUAAUUCCAGGCAUGAAGCUAACUCAUAUACAAAGAGAUAUCAAGUAAGCAGAGGCGAAAGCUAAAAGCUUUGGUUACAGGGGUCGGUGUGAAUAAUGUAUAUAUCGUUUAGACAUAUUUUUGAAUAUCUAUUUUAAUUUAGGGGAUAUUAUAUAUAUUUAAAAAAAAUUAAAAUUUUUACGGGAGCCAUGGCUUACUAUAGUCUCCAUUAAGAUUCACCCUCCCUACUUUUCGUACUUCAUUAAAGUAUAGGAUAAAUAUUUACAAUAUUAUAAAUAGAUUUUAUAAAAGCAGUCCAUAUAUGAAAGUCCUUCUGCACUCUGAAUUAAAUAAAAAUAACGUGAGACUAACAAUUUAAGAGUCUUUUUUGCAACGUAUAUCGUGCAGUGAUGUACUCUAUCGACGGAGGACUCUCUUCAUAUGCUUUUUAUUUUUCCAUGCCUGAUUAUAAAUAGGAUCACUCUAUGUUACAUUAAACGUAACGUACACACACUCACAACAACAGUAACAAGUCCCAUCAUUAGAACUGUUGCUGUGAGUGCGUGUAUGUUACGUUUAACGUAACAUAUCACUAGCCUUAUAAAUAACAUCACUUUUAAGGAUUUUUACAAAUUUUUAUUACAACCGUAACUUUUGUCCUCAUACAAUAACGGUGUCCAUUGUCCACAUAUAAAAAGUUCAUCAAUAAACAUAUAACCUAAUUAAAAUUCGUGACAAAAUCCAAAGGAAAGAAAGCGUGGAGUAAUAUAUAUAACAAAGGCAUUGAGCAUACACCAGGUGUAAUUUGCAUUGCAUGGCCACCCUUACGUGGCAGUUCCGCCGAUUAACACAUCUUUAAAAGUUAAAGCCCCCCUCUCUCCUUGUUAAGGGCGUUUCAACACAACACUCAUCAAUGCAAGCAAAGAGACAGUGAAGGAAAAAUUAAGAAACCAAUAUUGUCACUUGGAAGAAAGAAACAAUCAUUACAUAUAUAAUACGAUGGAUACUAAGAACAACAGGAAGCAUUUGUCCUGCAUUGCCAACGACGUCGUUCACAGAUGUGCACUGUACGUAUCUCUCUCUCUCUCUCUCUCUCCUUUUCUUUUUCUCCCCGAUCACUUUGUUUUCUUUAUAUAUACGAAUGUAUGUAGAACGUAGUAGGUUUUGUAUAAAUAUCUGUUGCACACAUUAUUUGAUGUGCAUUUAAAUAUAAUUAAUGGUAAUUGAGAUGACACACAAAGACAAUGCAAAAAAAGAAAAAAAAAGAGAGAGUAAAUUAAUGAAUUUGCCUUGAUCCAGUUAAUUUGUGUGCAUUUAGCUGACUGUAAGGUGGUUUCGAGUGUGUUUUUGUUUGGCAACUUUUCACACAAAAGCACUUUUGGGAAGCACUUUAUGUAAUGUAAGUGCCUCUAAAAACUGUUUUAUGUAUUACUGCCAAAUGCAGUGCAGAGGUUACAAUGGGAGGGUCGGUUUUAUACCUGUUCUUCGAGACUUAAUUUCAAUAGGAGAUUGAAAUAUUUAUGAGAAUUAUGUUGUUAGCAGACUUAAUUCUUUUGGAGGAAUUCAUUCCAUCGUAGACCACUCAAUGAAUUUGGUCGAUUGAGAUUAUUUGAGUGCAUGCUUCAAAACUGGAGCAUUAAUUCUUUGACAUAAAUGGGCUUUAACAUAAGGCGCGUUCGCUUAUUCCAUUUAUUCAAGAAGUUGGCACUCAAUUUUUUAUUACUAGCCUUUAGAUGGCCAGCAGCCUUUUGUAGCCCUUUCUAGUUUCUACUAAAGUGGUUAUGUGCAAUAGUUCUAUUCUGGGUUGCAAAAUUAUUGUGUCAGUAGAAUCCACAUACAUUAUGUACUUUUCUGUAUUUAAUUUCAAGAGGCUUAGUUAUAUCAUAGUUUUAGGAUUAUAAUAAGUCUGUCCGUUACCAUGUUAUUGGAAUUUUUUUUUUUUUCUAAAUUAGUUGGACACAUUAUUGGAUUGGUCAAUAAAGGAAAGCAUUUGGCAAGUACUUGGUUUGAUAUUAACAUAUAGUUGCAGUAAAGCACAUUAACUUGUGCAUCCUGAAAUUCUUGCAGGCAAGUAAAGGCUUCUGAGGAUUCAUUGGUGGAGGGGUUUGAAGCUGAAUGGAAGCCUGAAAUCGGACAGUAUUCGAAGAAAUUUGUGGAAUAUUGCAGCAUAAAGGCUCUUACUAACAUGUGCCAGAGCAUAGAAGAAAAGAUUAGUGAUGGAUCAUUUAGUCGACUCACAUUUGAUAUGAUGCUUGCCUGGGAAAUGCCUAGUGCCGCCGAUGAGGAGUCUCAUACUGUAAGCAAUCAUCAUAAUACUCAUAUCCUAUAUUUAUUUCAUGGUCCACCAAAUCAUUAUGAUAUUAUCCCAAUUUUGGUGUGCCUAUCUUCUCUUCAAGUUGCUUCUUCUAUUUCUUUUUCAUUAUACAUUCUCUGGUUCUCAUCAGUUUUCGCUCCAAUUAAAAGAAGCAUGAAUUCUUUCACUUAUCUGCUGAAUCUGUUCUAAUGAUUGGGCAAUAGAUUUUUAUUCCUCUCUGUGGUUACUACUAUUUUGAUCUUGUGCAGGAGUGCAUGGGAAAGGAGAAUGAGGAUAGAAAGGCUGUAAAAGUCACUUCAGAUCAUGAUGAAAUUCCUCUCUUCUAUACAGACAUCAUGCCUCUUCUAGUAAGAGCGUCUCUUUCUGAUCAUUUGAGUGCUAAUGUACCGACCAAGCAUUAGCCUUCACUGAAACUCGUAUAUGAUUUCAUGAACAUUGAUUAAUUGUUAUUUUUGCUAACUACUCUAUGAGAUCUGAUCAAAUUAGAUAUAUAAAUGUUGCGAUUGAUCUUGGAUUUGCUUUAUAUUUGGCCAUCAAUUAUAUUUUACUCUUCAUUUUUAUAUUUGUUUGGUUUGAUAAUUUACCCUCUGGCCCAUAUAUAUGAUGGUAGGUUAAUAAUGAACCGAGUGUUGGAGAAGAUGCAUUUGUAUGGAUGGGAUCCUUAGUUCCUCUAGUUUCAGAUGUUAUUAAUGGGAGAUUUACAUAUGAAAUUCUGACAGCGCCAACAGGAAACCGGCUCCAUUCUCCAGCAUAUGAUAUAUUUCUAAAGGAGAUGGACAAGUAAUUCUUCCAAUUCUUCCAUGCAGCAAUUUUACCACUCAGAAACUUUAAGUGCCGUUUGGUUUUGUGACAUGCAAAUUAUCAUGGAACACUCAAAAUGAGUUGUUCUUAACAAUUUCUAGAAUUUGCAAACUCACUAACCAUAUCUGAAAAUGCAGAAGCAUUAUUACCACUUAUUGAUAACAAUAUCUCUGCUCGACUUGUUUGGGUGCUUUCAGCCGUUUUUCAUUUUCUUUUGGAAAUCUUGAUUUCAUAGAUGCAUAAAACAUUUGCAAAAACAAGCAACUCCAAAGGGUGUUGAGCUGGCUGACGAUGAAUUUAUACUGCAUGUGGAGGGAACUGCAAGCACACAGAGAGUAGUGCGCCAUAUUGGGAAAACAAGUUGGCCUGGUAUGUCUUUAGUUUGAUGUCUUACAUCUUUUUAACUGCUGUAGAAAUUGUUACUUGGAUUUUACUAAUCAUAAUUGUUGUCUCUAGGUAGGCUCACACUGACAAAUUAUGCGCUCUACUUCGAGGCUUCGGGAGUAAUAACAUAUGAAGAUGCUCUAAAGAUUGACCUCUCAAAAGAUGCUGAACUAUCUGUUAAACCAACUGCCACAGGUCCAUGGGGUGCUCCGCUUUUUGACAAGGCAAUUGUAGUCGAGUCCCCUGAACAGUAAGCAUAGUUGCACUUAUAUGAAAUUACUGGAGCUAUUAGCAUCGUUAUUCUUAUUUUAAAAAUUGUUAAAUGCUUGGUAGUUAUCCCAUAAGCUAGAUUUUAAAUGCAUAACAUACAAGGCAGACAUCAGAAAGCAUUCUGAUUCGUUUAUUAAAGUUUGUCUUUUAUUAAGCUAAAGAUAUUAAUGCUGCUAGAUUUUUCUAAUUUGGUUGUAGAUAUUGGUUAGUUACACUGUCAAAUGAGCAAAUCUCGUGGAUAUUUCAUAGUGUGGUUAUGCAAUUGUUUUUUGCCCUUCACUUUUCUAGAUCUGAGGGAAUUGUCCUGGAGUUUCCAGAGAUAACUAGCUCGACAAGGCGUGAUCAUUGGCUGGCCCUCACAAAGGAGAUAAUGUUAAUGCACAAAUUCCUGUCAAAAUUCAAGGUGGAAUGUCCAAUACAAGCAUGGGAGAUGAAUGCAAGGACAAUACUUUGCAUCAUAAGACUCCAUGCAGCAAGAGAAAUGCUGAGGAUAUUGCCUCCAGAUCCCACAAAAUUCUUGAUUUUUGCUUUGUAUGAUGAGUUGCCAAAGGGAGACUACGUGCUAGAAGAGCUUGCUGAGAGUCUGAAGAAAGUUAAUUGUGGACAUCCUUCCAGUGCUAGCUCAAUUCUGAGAUGUAUGAACCUGUCAAUUGCCGCAAGUGGAGAAGUAAAAGAAGGAAAAGAACUGGAGGAACAUAAACAUAUAAGUGAUGAAAGCUGUUCAUCACUGGAAACUGCCAUCAAUCAAUCUAAAGAGCAAGCAAAGGCAAUUGAAAUUGCUAAGUCUACCACUGAGGGCCUGAAAGAUGAAGGGAUCAGUGAUAGUAUCCUUGUUCUCUUGGUAUGUUUUUACUUCCAAAUUGUUGUUUAUGCUGCUGAUUUUAUAUUGACAGAAUAAGUAAUGACAUCUCAACAAAUCAUGGUAUUGAGAGCUUGUUUGACAUUUAUCAAACACAGCAAAGAAAUUGAAUUUUAUGAAAUUCCUAUAGCACCCUAUAAUUUGUACCAAAAAAUCUCUGCACCUUUGGCAUGCUGUAUGGUAUGGAAGUAUAGCUGUCUCAGAGAGGUUACUGUUAUUUACUUUAUUUGGUUUUGUAGUAUUGAUGUUAAGUUUGAUUUAAUAAUGUAGGAGCUACUAAAGCCACUUAAAAGUGUUUUACCCUGGAUUCGAGAAGUUGUUUCAUGGGAAAAACCAGCAACCACCCUCACUGUGAUUGCAACAACUCUACUAAUAGUGUACAAGUAAGUCAGUGCUCCCUCGUAAUUUUCUUAUAUACGGAAAUUUUUUUGAAAGUGCAUGUUGAUCAAGAACCACUUCAUUACUUGGCCUAUUAAUGUGUAAACUUUGCAAAUGACUAGUAAACUAUAUAAUGGCAAUGUAGGGAGUGGGUAGGCCAGGCUAUAGCUGCUUGUUUGCUCACCAUCGUGGUGAAGAUGCUUCAGGCAAGAAAAAAAAGGUUGACAGACAAAUGCAAUGAGAUAGUAGUAUGCACUGCUUCAGAUCAGAGCACCGUGGAGAGCAUUGUGUCGGCUCAAUACAGUUUGAUAACUAUUCAUGAGAUGUUGCAGGCAGCAAACAUUAUGAUUUUGAAGAUAUGGUCGAUAUUAAUUUCAAAGGCCCGCAAGGUACUCAUUUUGAUAACCUAUGCUUUCAGCUUAGCAAUUAAAUAUCGUUUUCAAUCAAUAUUGCUUAUUCGUCGUUAGCUGAAGUUCGUUUACCUACUACAUUUGUUGGAUGUCUUCAAUUAUUGAGGAGUCUUAGUUGCAUUUCCAAAUUGUUCUAAAUCCUCGUUUCAUUUAAUGGGUUGCAGCAUGCGGACACGGUUAUGGUGGCAUUGACUGGGUUAGCAAUAGUAUUAGCAGUUGUUCCAUUCAAGUAUAUUGUCAUGGGAGGUGUGCUGUACGGCUUCAUUAUGAACUCGAAGCCAAUGAAGUACCUGGGAAACAACUCAAACGACCAAAGCGGCAACAGACGUCUAAAAGAAUGGUGGGAGUCAAUCCCUAUUAUUCCUGUUCGCGUCGUGGACAAGCUUCCUGAGUGCCCAAAAUAAUGUGUCGGCUCCUGCACAAUCACAGUUGCCUAAAUCCUCUGUUUCUGAACUUUUGUUAUCAACUUACUGCACGAUAUACACUUCUGAGUUUGCUUUUGCCAUCAGAGUAGAACUGUAUCUGAAACACAGCAUACACUUAAAUGCUCAUUACAAAUUUGGAGAAAAGCACAAGUAGAAAAGGAUUGAAGACAUUCAGUAACGUUGAAAUUCUGCAUUUUCUUUAAUUUUUGUUAUGAACAAGUUUCUUAAUUAUUUGUUCUCUUGAUGUAAAAUAGCAUAUUGCUGGGAGUAAUGAAGAUGUGACUGUGCUUUUCCUAUUAGCAUGUUAAUAAAAGCAAAAUGGAAAAUUAUUAGUUACGUCCUCUCGUUUUGCGGCUUAUUGAGCUAACAAGUAACUUCUUCAUUACUAGCGUGCAAGUUUGCAACUAGUGAAUCUCAAAUAUAACUCUACCCAAUGGAUGGAUGUACGAUGGAUGUACCUACCCAAUCAUUUAUUUCUCAUUAAAUCUGUUAAAACAGAAAAAGUCCCGACGUCAUAUUCUUCGCGCCUUUUAAAAAACGACACGUGUCGUAUCCCACUACUCGCGUGCUGGAAACUUUAACCCACUCUGACUGCGUGACAGCAGAUCAUUCCCAAUUCAUUUCAGUUUCACUGUCACUUUCACUCCUCCUCAGGCGCCUUCCGACAAACAGGAAGAAUGCAAACUUGAAAACCCCCAAAAACCCUAACGUUCCCCCGGAGACCCUAACCCACCAUAAACCCUGGCUCUUAAUCCUAGCCACUAUGAGCGACCAAGACGAGCAAUCGCGAGCUCAGAAAGCCGCCCAGUUAACAAGUCCGCUCUCAUCCUCUCUCUCGAACCUUUCUUCUUCUUCAAGAAGCAUCCCCUCUAAUCAAGAUUUCCAUUUCUUCUACAAUUUCCCUGAAUUCAAUCAACCCGUCCAAGAAAUCGCGAACCAAUCGCAGCUCCUCCUACAAUCCAUCGGCUCAUCGGAGAUUUUUAACCAACCGAUCAAUUUUCCUGAUGAGGUUGACAUCUCGGACGCCUACGACUGGCUUGUCGACGUAAACGACAACGUUUUCGAGCGUAUGGAUGUUUCUUUCGACGAAUUUAGUAAAGUAAGAGGGGAAAAUGGGGAAGGAGAUGGAAAUGAAGGUGGCUUUCAGUUGGUUUAUGGGAAGAACAAGAAGAAGGGCGACAUUGUGGGUGGCUCUGCCCCGGCCAGUGUGAAAGUGAAGGACAGGAAAGAGAAAAGCAAGGUGCCGUUUCAUAUAUCGACUAUAACAAAACCGCAAGAGGAGUACAAGAUAGUUGUGAACAAUGCGAACCAGCCGUUUCAGCAUGUUUGGUUGCAGAAGAUUGAGGACAGUGGACGGUUUAUCCAUCCUCUUGUAAGUUUGUUAUUUUUUGAAUAUUUUGAUAUUGGAUUUGACUUACUGGGUUUGUUAAAUUUGUAAUCUGAAAAUAGUACCUUUCUUAGGGACUUUUUAGUGAUCAAUUAUUUCUUUCAUUUUCUUUUUGGGUGGUUUGUGGUAUAUGUUUACGCUUAUCUUGUUUGGAAUUUGUGUGCAAUUCUUAUUAUUCAUGCGAGAAUUUUAACACUAUCAUGUGGUUCAUGCUUGCCAAAAAUAUACCAAAACACUUUUGCUUAUUGCUAUUGCUUUAUUUGUACAGGACAAUCUUUCUGUUUUGGAUUUUGUUGAUAAAGAUAUAGGGGAUGUGGAACCUGUAAAACCUCCCUCGUUGGAGCAGACACCAUUCAAGCUUGUGGAAGAAGUUAAAGAUUUAAAGGAGCUAGCUGCUAAAUUGAAGAGCGUAGAUGAGUUUGCGGUAAAGUCUGACUUCUGUGAUUAUGUUUUAUUGAUAAAUAAUGCCGUGGUUCAGCCUUACUGCAGUAGUUUCUUUUUUUCAGCCUUUUGAUUUCUCUUUUCUGAUGGGGCAUUUCAUAUACAGAACUGAACACUGUCCUAUGUAGAGGAUAUAGUGUAGUUAAGGCACAUGUCACCGAUGUCAGCUACUUCAAAAUUAUAUAGUGCUGGAUGUGGUUUAAGCCAAUAAGACAAGAAAGGGGUGUGGCCGCCUAUGAAGAUACAUACAAAUAUGUUAAUAUUCGAAACAUAUACAAAGAAAUGUGCCUGUAAUAGUUUUCCUGUCUACGUAAAGUAGUAAACCAGCUGUCUAUUUAAUCUUGAUACAAGUUUUGCAUGUUUAAAAAAUUAUCUUUCAUCUUUAACAGUGAGUCCAUUUUUAGCUGUAAUCCUUUUCUCAAGCAUGACUUGGUUUUGCUUUCGUUUUCAUCUCAACAGUAAACCUGUUUGCAACUAGAAAACAUUGUAAUUUUUUUGUAACUUUUCUCUAGGUCGACUUGGAACAUAAUCAAUAUCGAUCUUUCCUAGGAUUGACUUGCCUGAUGCAAAUUUCCACCAGAACCGAAGAUUUUGUGGUAGAUACGUUAAAGCUUCGCGUUCAAGUUGGGCCAUAUCUUAGGGAAGUUUUUAAAGAUCCUACCAAGAAAAAGGUUGGUCCCUUCAACAUGCUCUCGCGUAGCUUUGUGAUAAAUCUUAUUUUUUCCCCCCCAAAUUAUGUUAACUUUUACUUUACUAGGUGAUGCAUGGAGCAGAUCGAGAUAUUGUGUGGCUUCAACGGGACUUUGGCAUAUAUUUGUGCAAUAUGUUUGACACAGGACAGGUUUUAUCCCUUGAAACUCUCUUUGAAAUUUGAGACUUUAUUGAUGAUCUUGUCUGGUUUUUUGUACAAUGGUUAAAUUUAUCUUAUCUUAUCUGCUUUUUUGUGGUCUAAUUUAUGAGUGUUGAUGCAAGCCUUUAUUCUACUAAAUUAGUUAAAUUGAGUUAUCUUUUGAUACUGUAUUUUCAAUUUUGUAAUUCAUCUUAUGUGUUUGAGUCAAGGUUUGGCUUCAAAAAGCCUUGUCAGUUACAUGUCAUCUCUCCCUUAAUUUUUUCAAAGUAGCUUCGCUUGUCAUUUGAACUAUUUGUAUCAUUAUUUUCAAUUUUGAUGUGGAACUUCCCCCAUUUAUUAAUGUUCUUUUGGUUGUUUUUGUGUAAUGCUCUUUUGUAAAUUUUACCGUGGCAUUUAUUUUGUUUUGCAUUUCAAAUAAUAGUGAGAAUUGCUUUUUUCAGUCCUAAGUUUAUUGGUUUAUUGUAAAUAUACUGUAUAUUUAUUUUGGUUUGCAUUGGGAGAUGAUCGUGGGAAUUUGUUUCUGUCUUUUCAUAAGGCCUCAAGAGUCUUGAAAUUGGAGAGAAAUAGUUUGGAGUAUCUUCUACAUCACUUUUGUGGAGUUAAUGCCAACAAAGAGUGAGUCCUUUUGUAAAGUACCUGAUCUGUUUCUCCUUAUAGUUUCCGCCCUUCAUCAUCCUAAGUCAACUCAUUGCAGAUACCAGAACGCAGAUUGGAGAGUACGUCCUCUUCCCGACGAGAUGCUGAGGUACCUUUGGUUCUCUUUUUAUCUUCUUUGUAACCUACUUUUCUAAUGAGUUCUCCAAAAAAAAAAAAAUUAUGAUCUGUUUGGCAUGAAAAUAAUUACUACUAUUUUAAAGUUCUUGUAUUCUUUGGAAAAGCAGAAAUCAUAUAUCAUCAUUUAAGUGUUUGGGGUUUCAUCUUUGCCUGUAUUUUUGUAGAAACUAAUAAUAUUUUUUUUUCUGUGGCUUAGGAUUUGAAUUGUGGGAAUAUCUAUGUUGGAAAUUAAUAAUGAGUGCACAUUGACUCUUGAUAGUGGACAAAUAUUUGGACAGCCAGGAAGGGGAAGGCCAACAAAAGUUUUGGGUUUUUAUAAGUUGAAGUUAUGAAUGGUUUUAUAAUUAAUUAGGUAUAGGUUUCCUCAUUUGGGUAUUUCUGGGAGAUCUGGGUUAUAAGAUUGAGAUAUUCCAGCCUGUAUAGAUAAUUGUAGGGUUGCCUGUGUUUGUGAUAUUCCAGCGCGUUUAUUAUUACUACUUCUUAUAUAUAUAAAAUUUUAGACUCUUUCCAUGUCUAACAAGAAGUUUUCAUGAUAUCACUUGGAUCCUACUCAUGCAGACUUGUAAGGCAUCCUUAGGUGCGGUUAUGUGAUCUGGUUUUUAUAAAUAUUUUUAAAUUUUUUGUCAGAGACAAUGCCUGUAGUGACAAUGUACUGACUUAUCUUUUGGUUAUUACCAAGCUGAAUCAGGUUGCCUGUGGUUUAUGACCAUACCAUUUGGUCUUAUAAAAUGUUCUUCCCUUCACCUCAUGUUCUCAUACUUUAAAGCAUGAAUAAUAUCUAAGGGCCUGAGAUUAUUUCAUUAAUUUUUCCCAAGUCUAGAUCCUUCCCAGAGAAAUGGAUGGAUUACCCACACACUCACCAGUAACAUGUCGUACUUUAUGACGGUUUUGCAUUACUGCUGUAUGUCAUUUAAUUUGCCCUUUUGAGGAUUCUUUAUUUUCUCUGGGCUGAUGUUACUUUGUGGUGCUUUUUUUUCCUAUUUAGUCAAAAUAUAUAUUCAUCAUAGAGUUUCUCUGUUAGAAUUUUCUUAGCUUUGAGGAUUCGUUAGUGGCAUAUCAUCCAAUUGAUUAUACUUGUGAUGACAGAUACGCUAGAGAAGAUACACACUAUCUGUUGUAUAUAUAUGAUAUAAUGAAAAUCAAGUUGUCCUCAAUGCCCAAGGAGUCUGAGAAUUCUGAUACUCCCCUGACAGAGGUAUGAUUUUUGCUUAACUGUUGGUGUUGUUUUGUAAAACUGUUGGGCAUCUCUAUGAUUAUAGAGAAUCCAUUUUUAAAUGCUUUUUUCAGAUCUUGUUGUGCCAUGUAUGACAGACCAUUGCGUCUGGAGAUUGGCAUGGAGCUUAAUAAUUACAAUGUUAAAAAUAGAACAUAAAAUAUUGGGAAGUAUCUAUCAUGACUAAUUCUUCAACUGUUUAAGGAAGAUAGUUUAAAUCCGAAUAUCCUUUUUUGGAUUGUGGACUAAAGAAAAUUGUCAACUCUUGAUUUCUCUUCCCAAGGAUGAAGACGUAUCAGUCUGUUGGCAAACACAUUUUUUGAAUUUUACUUUAGUUAUCUAUAAUUUUACCAUAUUGAGCAAACAUUUUGUUGCAAACAGGUCUACAAGCGCAGUUAUGACGUAUGCAGGCAGCUGUAUGAGAAGGAGCUUCUGUCAGAAAAUUCUUAUCUCCACAUUUAUGGGUUUGUCUUUGUCCCUAUUCAUCUCAGUUUAAGUUUUCAUUUAGUGGCCUCGCCUGUUUAAAAUCUUCUCUCAUACAGUUUUUGUUUGUUUCAUUCUUUACUUAGCAUUACUUCUCUUGUUUAAUUUUAGUUCUAUUUUGGACUUCGUAUUUAUGUGAUUUGACAGAACUUAAUCAGUGGAGCUUAUUUCUCUAUGUUGAAAUAGGUUGCAGGGGGCUGGUCUCAAUGCUCAGCAGCUUGCUGUUGUUGCGGUAUGUCAGUUCUUCAUGUGUUUUUCAAACUUUGCCACUUUUCUAUCUGGAUAUUAUAUGCAUGAGGAUGCUACUGAAAAUGUAUUAUCCGCAUGUUUUGUUUACUAGUUGCAUCUUCAAAUGAAACAAAGUCUUGACCCAGAAGAAUCCGUAACGCACCAAUAGUCACUAAUAGGAUUGUCUUGAGAAAUUUACUUCUAAAUUUUUGAGUGGAUGAUAGAAGGGUGGAUUUUAAGUAGCUGACACAUCAUUGCCAACUGCUGAUAGAGUCUGUUGCAUACUUGAGUAUUCUUGCUAGUUCUGGCCCCAUUGAUCCCACUUCAAUGAUUUGCAGGGUCUUUGUGAAUGGCGAGAUGUUAUUGCUCGUGCAGAUGAUGAAAGUACUGGCUAUGUAUUGCCAAACAGAACUCUGAUUGAAAUUGGUAGAAACCUGUCUGAAUUUCCUCCAACUCUCUCUUCUAUAUGUAUAUAAUCCAUUUGGUGAGUUAUGAGUUAAUCAUAUUUUCCUUUUGUGGUAAAAGCCAAACAGUUGCCUACUACUGCUGCCAAGUUACGUCGAUUGUUGAAAUCAAAGCACUCAUAUAUUGAACGCUAUAUGGGUCCGGUACUUAGCAUCAUAAAAAAUUCUAUGCAAAAUGCUGCUAAUUUUGAAGUCAUUGCUCAAAAAUUGAAAGAGGAACGUAUGGAAGUGGUAAGACCUGCAUGCUCAUGUUUGAUUGUUUUGUUAUAUCAGUGAUCCAAAUUGAUUAUUUUUCUUUGAGAAUUUGAUGUUAAUGCCUUCAAUGGAUUGCCAACAUACAUUGAUUUUCUUUUUCUUUUCCUUGGAUUUCGUUAGAAUCAGACCAACCAUCUUUUAAACGAGGAUGAUGGUCCAAAACCUUAAGGUCUACUACGAUGAAUUGCUACUUUUUGUGCAAGUUCUUGUAAUUCACUCAGCUGGUUGUCUUCGGCAAAUGAAAGGAAAAAGGAAAUUCAUCCAAUCCAGUUCUAUUGAAGAAAAAGAAUCCUAGUUGAUCUUACAAAAUUAAGCUUUCAUAAUUUGUUAACCCAUGGAAUGUGAUUAAAACUCAUGGACAAAGGAUGUUCCAGUUGAGAAAGGGAUUUGAGUGAUUUUUAGCAAUUAUCAGUGAUGUCUUCAUUAGAAGUAAGUUUAUGGUUUAUAGCAGUAAAUGCUCAAUAAUUAGGUACUCCUUGUAUAUUGGCUGACCGGGUCCCAUGUUUGUAGUAGGUUUUGUGAGCUACAGAGGAUUAACUUCAGUCAGUUUUCCAUGUUAUGGCUGUUAAGAGCUAUGUCACCAUUUUUCUUUGUUUACAUCAAACUAAUCUUUUUUUUUCCCCCCAUUUUUCCUUAUUUGUGUAGGCAUCAGAAGAAACUGAAGUUUUAGUUCUUGAUACUUCCUCAAACUUGAAAAUUCCGAAUGUUGGAAGGGAGAGUGUUGAUGGUGUUGAUGCAUUAGUUGGUACCACGAUGCCUCACCCACCAGCUUACACCCAGCUGAAACAAGAGCCUCCAAAGGUUGGAAGCAGUGUCGCAGAACUUGACAGAAAUGGACUAGGGUCUUUUGCGCAUCCUGGAGAAGCAAUUGCUUCAGAAAAUAAAGAAGCUACUCAUAUUUCAACACUUUCCAGCUCUGGUCAAAGUAGAGACUUGAAUGCUUGCAAGUCACCUUCACCAAGGGUUGUGAAUUUGAUGCCUUAAUGUGGAUUUUUUUUUUUUUUGGUUAAGAGGUUUAGCAUUCAAUUUCUUUUUCUUUGGUUGUGAAUUUGAUGCCUUAAUGUGGAUUGGAUUUUUUUUUUUUUUGGUUAAGAGGUUUAGCAUUCAAUUUCUUUUUCUUUAUAGGUUACUGAAGCUGCUGUUCAGGCUCUAAAGAAGCCGAACCGUGGUUUUGGAGCACUGCUGGGUAACCCAAAGAGAAAGUUUGAUGGCGAGAAAAAGGUGAGUUAAUCAUUUGCUAGUAAUGGUUGUUAAACAUCUGCUAUGUCAUUGUCACAUAGCAAAAUAACUAUUUCUGAGGCCUGCCAGUCACCCAGUUUGUGCAUGUGUGGUUGGGAAGAAGGCAACAAAGGAAGAAUAUAGUUAAACAUUUGCUAUGUUAUUCUUACAUAGCAAAAUAACUACUACUGAGGCCUGCCAGUCAGCCAGUCUCUGCAUGUUGGUUGCAAAGAAGGCAACAAAAGAAGAAUGUUUUUUUUUUUUGAAUCUUCAUUCCAUGAUUCACUUUCUUUUCAAUUUUUCUUGUCAACUAGCAUGUACAUUUGCCUUCUUGUUGCCUUUUUCGUUGCGUGAGUCAUUAUGAAUUAUGAUUUAUAUUAUACGGAAAUUGUGAGUGGGCAACUGUUGGGCUAUAAUCAAACAUGCAAAAUUUCGGGUCCCAUGACUAAGCGCUGCUAUCAUCUGGAUUUGUGUGUUGUUGCAUUUUAUAUUUGGUUAACACCCUUCUUAUUAUCCUCCUUUUGAUUGUUUGUUUGUCUUAAUUAGGACAAGGAAGCUAUGAAACUAGAGCAGAUUAAAUCCUCAGUCAAUCUUCCAUUCCACUCAAUUUUUGCAAGAGAUGAACAGUUAAAACCAGUUGAUGUGAUGAAGUCUGAACCAAAUAAGCCUGACAUUCCAUUUCCUUCAUCUUUUGGUAGUGGGCAACAAACGAAACCAAUCAUAGAGGAAUCCAAUAGAGUUACAGUAGUUUCCCAAUCAGAAGAACCCGCUCCGGCUGCUAGGUCUGAUACAGAAGAUAUUAUUACGUUGGAAGAUGAUAUAGAUGAAGAGGAACAAAACCUUGGUAAUUUGGAAACUGCAAGUGCGCCCGGAGAGGACGGUUCUGCAGGGUCUGCUUUGGAAAUGGGUAAACAAGAUGAGACCAUGUCUCUCUCUGAUUUAUCAACUAGUUUCCAGGAGUGCUUCCACUCUGCUAACAACAAUAGAAAACCUGGAAAGCCUGAGAGAUCUGAAGAACCUAGUGGUUUUUUGCAGCUUAAGCCGUUUGACUUCGAAGCAGCUAGGAAACAGAUCGAGUUUGGAGAAGAUGCCAAAGAAAAAUCAGCUGGGGUUGAUGGAAACAAAAGAAAACCAGUGAACUCUGGAGAUAAGAAAAAAGUUUCAGCUGUAGAUCAAGCUCAAAAAGAUGAUGGAACAAAAGAACUGUCACAAGGUAGACGACGUUCUGCUUUUCCUGCAACUGGAAAUCGAAGUGCAACAUUUCGCUGAGUCUCUGGUAUCAAUCAUGCUGCUCUGUGUAGCAGAAAUUAGUUGAAUUUUGGAUUUUCACAAUCAUGUUCUUGAUUUAAAUGGAAAUUAAUGCUGGUGGACAAAUUCGCAAUGGUUGUACGUAUAUUUCCAUUGCUUGAGGUCUUGUCUGAUACAGCAUGAGCUAACCUGAUCAUCUUUUGAUAUUCAGUAACAGGAGAGAUGUAUGGUCUGCAGGAGCCAAUGAUGGGCAAGUGAUACCUGAGGCCGGUGUCUAUUUGAAGGUAAAAUGGGCGAUGGUUCUAGGUUUCAUAUUAGGUUUUUGAUAGUCUUGAGUAAUUGCCCUACUAUCUUCAUAUUUAAAAAACAGGAUGGUUUCAAACCAAAGUGCGGUUUGUAAUCAAAAGCAUUUGAUCUUUUUGUUUUUGUAACUUUACGGGUUUUAUUUUUAGAAAAAUGGUUCUGUACUAUGGUUUAUUUCUGCCUUAUUUGAUAUUGUGGUCAUCUUAGGCUUUAUUUAGUGUAAUUUUUCAGUUAUAUGUUCGUUUGGGAAGAGGAAAUGAAGUUAAUUUUAUUUCACACUUGCAUAAGAAAAAAUUGUAAUGUUUAUAUUAUUUUUGUUAAAAUUAUUAUUUAAAAAUUAUAUUUGAUAUCUAUUAAUAAUUUUUAUUAUAAUUAUAAUUUUCUUUUUCCUCCAUCAUCUCAAUUGCUUAUAACUGCUGUUGAGGAUGGUUGGUGCGAUGUUAAUAAUUUGUAAAGGGCUUAGUAACAUCUGGUUCCGUGAUGUCGGCCAAACCAUAUCGAAGGGCUUAAUUUGACGGUCAUCGGGGCCUCCUGCCCAGCUGCCCUCCUUUACGGAUUCCGCUUCCGCAAAUUAUUUUAUAUAAACUGUUGUUACAUGAUAGUGGUGGCCGGAUGAAAAUACUACAUGACCAUAUAAUGCUUUCGGUGCAAUGAGUGAAAAAGAGAAAUUUUUAUGUAUUCUCGGAUUGAAGGAGAAAUUUUAAGAUUAAGAUUGUGGAGUGGUAGCAGGAGUAAAUUAUUUACUUACAUCACUAUGAGAGUGUGGAACGAAAAUUAGAAAUUAUGUAUUUUCUUUGUCUUAGAUUGAGAGUGAAUCAUUUUAAAUUAUAAUUUUAUCCUUAUUUAAAGAAUUGUAGUUUUUAAUUAUAAAGUAAAUAAAAAAAUAUAUUUGCACAAUAAAUUAUUUAUUUUGUUAUUAAUUUUAAUUAUAUAAAUUAAUAAUAAUUAUUAUUAUUCUUAAUCAUGUGAAUCAUGAUUUUUUUGUUAAUUUUNNNNNCGUACAGCAGAAAUAAAUAUGAUAUUUUUAUUUUUAAAUAAAUGUGAUAUUAUUUUUAUUUUUAUCAAUAUAAUUAUAUUAUAUUCAAUAAGGAAAUGAUAAAAAGAAAGAAGUGGGAGUAGAUUUCUACUUUUUAUUCAAAAACAAAAAUGAGACCCACAGAGUAGAAGCCUAACUCUCCUCCUUAGAUGAGUACUAAAACGUUUAAGUAGGAGAAAUUCAUAUUUUUGACUCCCACUCUACAAAGUAAACAUAAUAAUAAUAUCAUAAUAACAUUUGAUAAUUCUAUAUAUUUGUGACGUCAUAUCUCAUCAAUUGAUUAAUAAAAUUAAAUGGUGAUUAUUUAUGAAAGAACAAAAUUAAUUCAUGUGAGUUAUGGUUAAUAAAUAAAUAAAAUAUAAAAUGUUAAAUUUUGACUAUAAACUAAUUUCAAUAUCUAAUAAUUUAAAAGCUCAAUAGAGCUAUGAUAAAAACUAAAGGGAGGAUUCUUAAUCCGAUCCGGGAUCUUAAUCAGUUCAGGACCGAUCCACUUCCAGCUAUUACGCGUCAAACAUCCAUUUGACGAUUGACGUGUCACGCCAUCUCACUGUCCUCACAAGAAAACCCGUUACCUUCAAAAUGCUCCAAACCCAUCAACGCCGAAUUCAAAUCAAGCCCCAAGACCAAAUACAAAGCAAAAACAAAUAAACAAACGUCUGUUCAUUCAGUCUGAAAAAAUCAAAAGAAGUAAAAGGAUUGGCGAUGGCGAUGGCGGUUGAAGGAGGAGGGACAUUAUCGGAGAUAUAUCAAAGUGCGAAGAAGUUGCUGUUGAGAGCGAGAGACGGAGUUGAGAAACUGGAGAGACUGGAGAGCUCGACGUCGACUGGGGGAUACGAUUCGCCGGAGCUCUCCUUCGCUGUCAAGAAAGAUAUUUCUCAGAUCCAGUCACUCUGCGUCGAGAUGGAUCGCCUAUGGCGCUCCAUCGCCGACAAGUCUCAGCGCGAUCUCUGGAAGAGGUACCUAUUCAUUUACUGUUUUGCCACGUGGCACCGAAUCAACCUUGUGUCGUGUCCUAAUUGCUCUACGCCAGUUCGGUUGCAAUUCUGUGCAUGAACCGCAAUUUUUAUACUGAAUAUUACAUUAUUGAUUUUGUCUGAGCGACAAGGCAUGCUUCCACGUUUACUUGUUGCUUAGUUUUAUUGUUUUGCCUUCUAUGUUAACAGUCUAUAUAAGUUUUAUAUGUGUUACAGGCAUGUGUAUAUAUGGAAGUACAUUAAUAGCUGUUCAUGCUGUUGCUUGCUUGAGGUCGUUGGUAUAUUUGCAUUUGGAACUAAAUGUGCUUGGUGUGGGUUCGCUAUGUGUGUGUGUGUGUGUGUGUUUGUUUGCGUUUGAUGUUAAAUGGAAUUACCUUCUAUCGAGUCAGUGCCGCAAUUUGAUUGCUUGGUUUUUCAGAGGUGUGUUUUUAUGUUAUGUCAUGCAGAAAAGUUGAACAAGUAGCAGAAGAGGCUGAAUCAUUGAAAGAGAGUCUCGAUAAGUACUUUUUAAGAAAUCAGAGACGGAUAAAUGAAGCUAGAGAGAGGGCGGAAUUGCUUGGAAGAGCUGUAUGUUUAUUCAGUUUUCGUUAGAAGUUUUGAACGGAUUCUGUAGUGUUUUUCUUGUCUGGAAACGAGAAUUAGCUUUCCAAUCUGAUGAAUUUCUUUUAUGUUAUAGAAUGGAGAGUCGUCUCAUAUUUUGAGAAUUUUUGACGAGGAGGCGCAAGCAAUGCAGUCAGUACGCAAUUCAUCGAGGAUGUUGCAAGAAUCGUUUGCAACUGGGACAGCCAUUCUUGCCAAAUAUGCAGAACAAAGGGAGCAUCUAAAGGUAUUGACACUUAAGCUCCUUGUUUACAUGCACAGUUGCACACUAGAAAUUUUUGCCAAGCUCACUCAAACUGUGUGCAAACAAAGUUCACUAAACAGGGUCAAAUGAGAAAUUUACAUUCUUGUCAUGGUUGUAUUCUUAACAUGAUUAAAUAUUUAAAUGAGAACAAUGUUAGAUCCUCAAAGCAAUUAUCUUUAAUAUUGAUUUAUACUACUGCUAUAGAAAUUAUAAGUGUUUGCAGCACCUGCACAAAUGGCUGCAGAGAAUUUAGUCUGUCUAUGGUAAUAAUUUUAAAAGCUGGUAACUCCAAAUAUUCAACAGUGGCUGACAAAAACAAUCCUCAAGUUUUAAAGUAAAAGCAAACUUUGCUUUGAAAUAAUCAGUGACAACAAUGACGUGAAAGUGUCACCAACUGUUUAUAUAUAAUAUCUCCAAUAUUCCAGAAUUUAGUUUCAUAAUGGCUGGCAAAGACUUGGUUUUUUUAAGGUUUAAAGUAAAAACGAUCUCUGCUUUGAAAUGUUCAGUGGCAACAGUGAUGUAAAAUGAUCAGCAACUGUUCAUAUCUAGUAUCUCCAAUGUUUAGAAUUUUGUUUAAAAGAUCCGUUCCAUCCAUAAAAAAAUUUCAUUCUGAAUAAGCAACUCAAGAUUACACUUCGCAAGAACACACCAUCUACCAUUUCUCACAAAUUUAAAUGUCACAACCUAUGAUCCAUUACCAAUUGUGAGAAACGGCAGAUUAUUUGUUCUAAUGAAGUGUAAUUUGAGUUGCUUAUUUAAAAUGAAAUUCUUUUAUGGGUAGAAGGGAACUUCUAAACGAAGUUCUAGGAAUCAAAUUAGCUGUUUAGAUUUGAAUAGUUGGUGAUGCUUUGAUGUCACUGUUGCCACUGAUUCUUCUCGAAAAGAAACAGAUUUUUAAAUGGUAUUAUAGAGGUCACAGAAAAAAAAUAGUCAUGCUAUCAUUGAUAGCACUUGCCACUGAUGUUGAUAAUGAGUUUAACUGAUUAACUUCCAUCUUUGGUUCAGAAAGCACAAAGGAAAGCUCUGGAUGUUCUCAACACUGUGGGUCUGUCCAAUUCAGUAUUGAGGCUCAUUGAGAGGAGGAACCGUGUCGAUACAUGGAUCAAAUACGUAGGAAUGGUUUCUACAGUGGUCAUCUUAUAUUUCUUCUGGAGGUGGACUAGGUGAUCCGAUCUUCAUACUUAGCCACGCAUAGAUCAUUAAUCCGCAUACUUUGGAAUGAUUAAGUUUUGUUCUUGAUAUUUGCCCCAUAAGAGGGUUAAUGAGGAUGUACAAGGCAUUCUUUGAUGAGAGACUAUCCUCUUAUGAGGAUGUAUAAAGCAUUCUUUGUUAAGAGACUAACUCGUAUAGGACGGACUCCCAAAGAAGGUUCUUUGCAAUUCUUGAACAUUUAGAGCGAAGUUGACGAAACGUGCUAGUUGUUUUUGUAUUUUGGCAAAAGGGGAAUUACAGAGUUCGAAGAUUCUAAGAAAUGCGCCAAUUUUGUUUUGUUGUCAGAACGCAAAAACGGCCUGAUUGUGGACGGUUAAAUCCGGAAUUAUGUAGUGGAUUUGCAGUUAUUGAAGGGCAUGCUUGGGAAAAUAAUAUGGUCAAAUAAAAUCAAGAACAAUUAUAUUGUAUCUGCUGUUUAUGCGUCCGUACUUGAAGGUGUCCACGUGGCUGGUGUGUGUUUGUUAAACCAGUAAAAUUAAGUAGUGCGAAGUUCUGAUCGCCGCUCAUUGAUUGUUUUUUUUUUUAACUUUAAAUAAACUAUGAGAAAAGGCUUUGAAUGAGUCGCAGAUAAAUUAAAGUUUUUUUUUUCUUCUUCUAAAUUUAUAUCCAAUGGUUCGGCACAUGUUAUUUUCUUUAUUUUUAGUGCACACGGUAAACUAUUGAUAGUAUUUGGUGUAAACUCACUUUCAAAUCGAUGCUUCACGAAAAGUCCAAAUGACGCGCUAUGAAAGUAAUAUAGAUAACUAGGAUAAGUGGAAAUGAUAAACGAAUAAAAUGAAGUAAAAAGAAUUUUUCAUUUUUAAGGGUUACAAAAUAAGAAUAGUUAAUUACUUAAUUAGUUGACUUGCUAAAAAUUUUUCAUGCAAACAAAUGGUCUGGACUGGAAUCCGUUUAAAUGGAUAGGAAGAAAAUUAGAGUGUCGUAAAAGUACUGGAGUUUCAAAUCCCCUCACGUAGUCACAAGGAUUAGAAGAAAAUUGAAUUGUUAGGCAAAAUGAAAAAAAAGAAAAAAGCUUAACAUUUUUAUUUUCUAAAAAAAUGUUUUUCUUAGUUGUUUUGUUUUUUAAUUUUAAAUAUAUUUAAAAUUUUGAAAUUAAUAAAUGACUUUGAAAACUUGAGUGUGCUCGAGCCUCGAGAUCUACUCAAAUUCUUUUACAUUAUUACAUUAUGAAAAAUUGUAUGAUGUCGUGAUUAAACUAUUGUAUCAAUACUAUGAUAAACAUAAAUUUUAGAAAUUAUAUAUAAGACUAGUAAGUGAAAUGUAAAAUAAAUUAAUUAAUAUAAGAGUGGUAAAUAAUGUUUUAAAAUUAUAAACAAAACAAACACUUAUAAAAAUAACAUAAAAAUUAUAAAUCAACAUUAAAUUUUAAUGUAAAAAUAGUUUAUUUAUUUAAUUUAUUCAAGCAAAGAAAAACUUUACUCAUCAAUUGAAAACAAAAAUUUUGUAUUGAAAACAAUGGGAAUAAGUUUUAUUAAUUGAUUUAACCAUGAAUUUUAUAUUCAUGUCAGGAUAUUUAUAAACUGUUUUUUUUUUUCAUUUUCUAUCAUAGUAUUUGUUUACUAUACAAGUUGAUUAAGUAAACUUAUUAUUAUUAUUAGUAUUAUUAUUAUUAUUUAUGUGGAUCAAGCCAAAACAAAAUAAAAAUACAUUUGAAUAUUACUAGACAUAUAUGGAAUAUUAAUACAAUUGAAUCUAACUUUCAGUUUUAUACAUAAUUCAUCUAGUUUCAAAUUUUACUUCUUAUACUAAAAGAUCAUUUGAGGUUGCUAUCGAGGAGGUUUAAAAUGAUGCAAAAUCACUUAUAUCACAAAUAAAAUAUGAAAAAAAAUUUCUAAAAUUUGAUUUUGAGAGUAAGUUUUAUCCUUAAUAAAAUUCCACAUAUAUUAUCACGUCUAUUACAUAACCACAGAAUUAUCAUUAUUUGAUUUAGAAAUAAAAAUAGUAAAUAUAUAAUGUAAUCAUUAUUAUAGUGAGUUUUUAUUUAUUUUUUCAAUAACUCUUAUAAUAUUUACUUAUUUUACAUUCAUUUACAACUCUUCUAUUUUACUUUUAUAAUUUAUAUGUUAUUUUACACUUAAUGUUGAUGUACAAGUUUUAUAUCACAUUUGUAAACAAGUUUUACUUUAUAUUUACAUGUAUUAUGUUUUAUUUACUUAAUUCAUGUUUUAUUUUAUACUUAAUGUUGAUUUACAAGUUUUAUAUUAUAUUGAUAUAAGUUUUUAUUUUAUUUACUAAUGAUAUAUCAACUUACCACUGUUAAUUUACUUAUUUUACCUUCAAUUUGCAAGUCUUGUGUUUCAUUUACAUAAUUUAUUAUGUUUUAUUUUACGUUUAAUGUUGAUUUACAAGUUUUAUGUUAAAUUUACACCUCUUAUAUUUUAUUUACACAAUUUAUGUUCAAUUAUAGUAUAUUAUAGAAUGACUCAUUUGACAUUACAAUACAAAAUUAUAAACAUAAAUAGAUGUAUCAAAAAGUCUUGUCGAAAAAUGAAUCCACCUUAAUACGGACCUGUCUCAUUGUUUUAUAAUUAAAGUUGCACACUCUUACAAUGAACUUGAAGAAAUUGAAUUCUCAACAUCAAUAAUGAGGUGUCUAUUACUAAUAAUAGUUUAUAAAAAAAAUAAAAAAAAUAAAGAAAUAUGAUUAAAUUGAUCAAUGUAAUUUUAUUAAAAAAAAGAAGCAUUUUUAUUACAAAAGCAAUCUCAAAAUAUAUAUUUUUUGUAGUUACAAAAAAUCAUGACCUAGUGGCGACCUAGUGGCGACCUGGUGGGCGUAUAUACAAAAAUCAUAAUAUUUUUAUACUGAUUACAUAAAUUCGGUGAUCACAGACCACAGUAAAACCCUGAAACCGCCCAACGGGGUUCUUUACCAGAGGAAAAAAGGGAGGAAAGAAAAUGACUUUUUAAUAUAACGGCACGGGUUUAAGCCAAAAACGGUGGAAUCAAAUCAUUGACACGUUCGUGCGAUGCCUUCACUCCUCAGGCAAACCAGACUCCCGCAUGUGAAUGCCACGUGAACGUAGCUUCUUCACAUAAUUUUUACCCCAAUGUCCAAAUUACCCCUUAUCUUUUACUCCUUUUUUUUUCUUUUUAACUUUGCCCGAUUUUGAAGUCUAUUACGUAUUGCGGACUGCUGCCCUCGCUUGACGUGUUUUUUCUCCUUUUUUUUUUUUUUCCCUCUCCAAACUAUUCUUUUCAAUUUUAACUAAAUAAUUUUUUUUUUUAUUACGAACAUCAACUUAAAAUUUAGGUUAGUUAGACACUUCCCCACUUCAUCCUUAAAGUCAAGUAUUCAUAUCUAUCUGUCUAUGGUGAAUAAUUUUUUUUAUUUUUUAAACUACGAACAAGUUAUCUUUUUUUUUUUUCUUUUCCAAUAUCACUAUUUAUCCACUUUUAGUUUAAUUCUUUCUGCCUAAGAUGAUCAAUUUAAAUUAAAAAUGGGAUUUUGAAAUUAUUUACUAAAAAUCAUGAUUGUUCUUUUGACGUAUUUGAAUAAAGUUUAUUUGGAAAAAUUAAUGUAAAAAAAAAAAAUGUUGGAAGAUUACGACAAUGGAAAUGUAGUCUCUGGUGAAAUGCUCUGAUUCAAUCAAUCAUCAGCAAAUGCGGUUCGCACGUUGGCAAUGGAACUCGUGAUAGCACAACCGUGAAAUGUCCUUCAUUUGGGAGUCCACGUUAAUCACAUGUGGGUCCAUCUUGAGUGCUUUUGUGCUUUACAAUUAAAAUAGACAGACAGGCUGAUGACCUGACAAUUUCGAGCCUGAUAAAGCCCCUUCAUCAACUUGAUCAGAAGGACAGGACAGCUAUUAAUAGAAAAAAGCAGCAGACUAGUACUAAUCGAGAAGUCAAACAGAUAAAAACUAAAACUAAAUAAUCUAAUCUCCUCCUAAUUCACUAAAUUAUUUUAUUUCUAUUGGUAUAAUUAAUUAAUUGAUUGAUUAAUCAAACAUGCCUUCACAAUUAAAUAGUUUCAACAGUGUAAGUUGAACCACGUGUCAAGCAAAAGCAACCAUCAUUUAUUAUAAUUUUUUUUUAUUUUUUUCGAAAAAGGAAAAAUCAAAAAACAAGGCAAGUUGAUGCCAACAGGAUCUGAUCCGGAAGGGUAACCGAGUCAUUUCGCCGUCAUGCAUGCCUCAAUCCGGAUUGCCUGCCCGCCCCCACGUUGGAAAACCAGGGACGCAUCGAUAAGCAGUUUCAACACCCAAAACACAAACUUGGGGGCGGGAAUUGCAAAACGAAAUAACAGCUUUUGCUUUUGCUUUAAUUUUUUUCCGUUUGUUUUCUUAAAAAGAAAGAAAAAAAAAAAUACUCCCAGUUCCACAAUAGAGCCCCUGGUUUUGCCUAUUUCUUUAAUCCUUUUACGCAGACUCAUGAUAAAUAUCUCCAUCUAUCAGUCAGUCCAUACGGUUUCCUUUCAUCACCAACCCCACCAACGAAAACAAAAAAAACAAAACAAACCCCCUCUUCAGAAAUAUAAUUAUAAUUUUCUUUUUCUAUUGAAUUAAGCUUGUUGGGUAUAAUUUGCUAAUUAAUCAAAGAUCGAUCUAUGACGACGGAAGCGGUCAGCAAGGUUGGAUAUGCGCAUAGUAAGGUUGCUAUGAAGAAGAAGAGCGGUUAUCGAGGUCGAUGCAGGAGAAGAAAUCACGACAGAUAUGCACCCGAUAAUAAAACGGUGCCGAUGGCGCUGCAGCGUCUGUUUCUUUCUUGCAAAGACGUCUUCAGAGGCCCUGGAACCGUUCCCGCUCCUUCUCAUGUCCAAAUGUUGUGCUCUAUUCUUGGUAAGUGUUUUUUUUCUUACACUUCAUCAUUUCUGGUCCAAUUUUCUUGUUUUUCAUUUGGCCGCUGCACUCGCAUGACGUGUAUGUUGUGAAAUCUGAACCCAUCAUCAUCCUUCAUCCAUGCACAUAUAUAUUAUCAGUCAUGAGAAAUUUUGAAUCAGCCAUUAAAAAAAGAAAAAAAAAAAGAAAAGGAAAGAUUCAAUAUUAUCAAAUCAAUACCAUUUUGUUUCAUGAGAUGAUCUAUGAAAGAUGGGAAAGGAGCACUGCUCCUUAUUUCAUUUCCUGUCACGUCUGUGUUUCAAUCAAUUGUAAUAAUACAUAUAGCCACGUAAAAAGCAAGGGGCAAUACUCUUUACAGCACGAAAACCUUCUCAAAAAAGGGGCUUUACUUUAUUGGCAGUAAUGAAUUGUUUUGAGCAAUUCAAUUCAUCAGUGCACUUAUCAUGUUUACGUAGUUUGUCAAUUUGGUUCCAGUUUUUGGUUCUUUUUAUUGGAUUCAGUGCCGAAAUGUCAUGUGUGUUCAUAGGACGUACUGGGAAAAGGAUUAGAAAUCUGUACUGAAUUUUUUUAAAUUUUGGGGGGGGGUUUUUUUUUGGGGUGGAUGGGGUUAUGGAUCUAAGUGGAUGGUACCAAUUUUCAAAAAUGUAGUUUAAUUAACUUUCCAGUUGAAAUUACAAAACCAAACCAUCCGAAAUGGAUUCUUCGAGAAAAGGUGGGUUCAGAAAACAAAGUGGUUGCUUCUAGGUGAAUCCAGAUUUUUUUCACGCGGACACAUGGUACCUUUUGGUUGAUUACCCAGCCACAGUGUUGCUUGAGGGGACAAAAAUAUCAUAUUUGUUUUUUUUUUUUUUUCCAAAUUCCUUUUUAAUUCGUAACUCAAUCUCAUGGGAUCCUACUCAGCAGCCAUUGUGAUUAUUUUUUUUACCUGACGACGCAAAAAUCUUUGCAUUAGAAAGGAUACAUAAGCACAUUUGCCUACUGUUGCUACGUGUACAUGUGCAAUGGUUUGGUUGCAAAACUGGAAGCAUUGGCACAUUAUAUAUAUGUGUGUUUUUUUUUUUUUAAUAUGUAUAAAUGCAUGGAUCAUGACACUUGGCUAAGUUAAAAUUUCCAUUUUCUCGUUAUCAUAAAGAUUGCCAGUGACUCAAACAAGCUUUUCUUUUUAAAUUUAUGAUGCUACAGAUGAAAUGAAGCCAGAGGAUGUUGGGCUUAGCAGUAAGUUACAGUUACUUAGUGCCAAAGAUGCAAUGAAAGGGACGCCAAUUGUCACAUCCACUACAAUAUACAAAUGCCAGAACUUUUCGGUAAAGACAUAAGCUAUUCAUAUUGGGCUAAAUUAAAUUCUUUUAUUAUCGUAUACUAAUUUGUAAACCAUACUAAUUAAUAGUGCAAAUUUGAUUUAGAACUUGAUAGAUUACCUUUUGGAUUCUCUUUUGUGCAGUUGUGUCUUUUCUUUCUUCCUCCAACUGCUGUGAUCCCCUUGCACAACCAUCCGGGAAUGACUGUUUUUAGCAAGCUUUUGCUCGGGACAAUGCACAUAAAAUCGUACGAUUGGGUCGAUCCUGUUGACGCAAACGAUUCUGCAGCCCCCACAAAACGUGAGUACCGCUUACCUUAUACAUAUAUGUCCAUGUAUAAUGCACACACGAACACACACACACACACACUCACAUAUCAAAACAACACGAUAACUUGAAUGUGCUAGCUCGGACUAGGAUGAUCAUUUGUGACUGAAAGUGAUGAUUUAAUUAAUUUGCAGCGCGAUUGGCGAAGUUGAUAGCCGACAGUGAUUUCACAGCACCUUGCAACACUUCUGUGCUAUAUCCAACAACAGGAGGCAAUAUCCAUGAAUUCACAGCCAUUACGACAUGUGCCGUGCUCGAUGUGCUUGGACCUCCCUACUCUAAGGACGAUGGUCGGGACUGCUCAUAUUACAAGGAGUUGCCACUUCCCGCGGUUCCAAGUAAGCGAAACAAAACCACUUGUUACUGAUUAAAAACAACCUCGUUUAAACCUCCUCGAGUAGCGCUUUCAGAGGUCUUACCAAUUAAACCCACCGAUUUUGUUAAUGCAGAUGGAGAGAAUCAGGAGGCAAAAGAGGAUGAUGGUGGUGAGAGUUGUAGGUGGUUGGAAGAGAUUGGGGUGCCAGAGAACUCACACAUGGAUGAAAUUGAGUACUUGGGACCGCAGAUAAUUGAGUAGUAGCUGUAACUAGCUUCAGCCCACAGUCGCGUGAUAAAAAAAAAUUUCAACGCAUUAUCUUCUUUUGUUUCAUAGCUAGUCAAUGGUUUUGUAUUUAUAUAUACACAUAUAUUACGUUGUUUCCUGACCUGAGUUUUCACUAUGUUAAUAGCAAAAUUUCAUUUCUUUUUCUUUUUUCUCUUUAAUCCCGGUAUCUUCUUUAAUAACUUGAUUACUUGAGUACACUGUACCAUUGAAAUCAUGGUUCAUGCCAUAGUUCCCUUAGAGGAAGGUCCAAACCCGGCUUAGGAGAAAUGGAGGUUUGGGCUGUCGAGGGCCUUGGUGUUGCUAUGUUCCCAAGAGAUGUUUACUUGGGCUGUCGAGCGCGCCGAGAAGUGCUUAAUAUUACAUCAAUGGGCCGGGCUUGUAACCGACUACUACACAUUCCCAUGGCGGCAAUCCUGAUCAGUAAUUAACUUGGGAUUUUGCAUUCAAUGAUUGCCACAAUAAUAUCAGCAAACUUUUCAGAAGAACCUUAAUUGAUAAUUGUCAUUUUGCAAUCAUAGGUUAGUUGAUGGAUAUACCAUGGGCCCUGAAAAUUAAUUAAAAUAUCAAACAUUGUAUGCUCCUAGGUUGGAAAUUUUUCAAAAUUUUCAAUAGAAAAAUAACCUCAAAAUCAAUAUUUUACAUGUGAAGAUCUGUUUCAUUAACAAGCGCGAUGGGCCAAACGGAGGGAGCCAGGAAUUUUAAGCUGUUCAUAUUUGACGCCCUAAUUUGGGAUUUGCUAAUACGGAAAAACUUUGAGCUGCUCACUAAUUUAUAUCUUGACUUCGAGAAUCUGCGCAAUUACUAAUUAGUAGCCAUCAAUAAUUGUCAAAAAUCAAUUUUGAAUUUCGAUAUUUUUGAAUGCAUUGGUGUUACGUGUUUCUCCAUACGCGUUAGUAAAUUUGAGAUGGUGUAAAUUUGUAAUAAACUAAUAAUAUCUUCUUUUUUUUAUAAUUUGAAAAUCAACCCAAUCUGAUUCUCUAAAUUAACAAGAUCAAAUUGACUAUCCAAUGUUCAUUCACUAGGAAAGUCCUAAAGGUCCCUCUAAACUAGAAAGUUACUCAAAUCUAUGGCCAAAAUAAAGUCUUCUUAUAAUUAAAGAAACAACCCAUCUUUUUUUAAGAUCUUCUGACAAUGAAUUUUCAAUUAUGAUGGGGUUUGAAGUUUUGAAAUUUUCUAAGAAUUAUUAACAACUGAAAAGAGAAAGCAAAAGAAAAAGGACGAUGUGAUAUGGCAUGGGACAUGGACUUCCCACCACCUUUACAUUGCCAUCAUGCAAAAAAAAAGCUCUCAAUUUUAUGCUUAGCUUGUUCUUGUUUUCUUUCUUUUAUCACUUCUUUAUUACGUGGGUCUUGAAUUCUCAAUAGUUUCUAAUUGUUAAAAAACUCCAUGAAAAUUGCUUUCCCUAUUGUAAUACCUCCAUUAAGGAGAAUGAAGGGUUAAAAAUGUACCGACAGAUACUGGAAAAUUAUUGAAUGAAGUAAUCAACAUGAUUGUUCACUGACAAUAUUAUAUUCGGAAUAAUGAUAGCUGGUUGUUUUGGAUUGUUUUAGAUGUUGUAUUAGCCAAUUAGGCAUAUUGGUAUAUAUUAUUAUUAUAUGAAAUACUAUUGCCUUUUUUAUUAGCAAAAGACUUUCGGUUAAGAUUUUGCUUAAUUACACGAUUGCAUCGUGAUUGUUUUUAAGCUUCAUCAUUCAAUUCCAAAACUUAACGUAACAAAAGAUCUUACUAACAAUACUAUUUUAAUACCCAUUUUUUUCCCAGUCACGUGAGUGUAUAUGAUCUCCAUAUCUUUGGUACUAUAUCUAAAAAAUUUUUCCAAUCAAAUUAAUUAACACCCGCAGCUACAUUUAAGCAAAUUGUUCUAAGCCGCUAGGGUUUAAUCUAGUAGUUAAAACACAACCCUUACAAUUGUGAGAUUAUGCGUUCGAACCCUCACAACAAUACAUUGUGGGGGUUUAAUUUUCUUCUCUAAUUUGAGUGAAAGCAGUCUCAUAAAAAUAUGGAUUGUGCUUGUCCCAAAAUUAUUUAAUUAUAAAUAUCAGUAUACUAAUCUCAUAAAAUAUAAGUAAAUACGAGUUGGAAUAUGAUCAAUAAUGUCAUAUAAUUUUUUUUAUUUAAAAAAAAAAAAGCAAAGUGCUAUGCAAUCCACUUGAUAUUACGACAAUAACUGGCACACUAAUGAACAACUAGUAAAUUCAUUUUAAAAGAAAUAACACCCCAAAUCAUUAAUAUUUAAAAAGAAUCAUUUGAAAAAAUCUUAAAAAGUGUUCGGCAAUCCACUUGUCAUUGUAACAAUCACUCACACGCCACUGAUCAACUUUAGUUUCAUUCAGUAUGCCGAGAAAUAGAAUUUAAAAAUAACAACACCUCAAAAUCAUACAUAUUUGAGAAGAAUCACAUGAAAAUUGAGCAGGUCAAAUAGUUGUGUAUAGAACAAAUUUUUUCAUGAGACAGGCUGGAUAGCAAGAAAUGGAAGCCAACUGUGAGUUUCGGUCUUUCAUAGAAUUUGGCCUAACGUUGUCACAUUCACUAUUCACGUACCCAUAUUAUCAUCAUCCCAGUGGGCACUGGCACUGCUGAGUGCUGACCCAAUAGAACAAAAUAAUAAUAAUAAUAAUAAUUCCCACUUGCUCAAUAUUUUAUUCUUUUCAUUUUAAUUGUCAUUUUCCCAAGUAAAUAAAAACCUUUUAUGCAAUUAAUUCUGCUUGUCGGGUGGAUGAGGUGGUUCAUCACGUUCAAAUGUUCAAUCAAUGACAAUUUUAUCGCAAAUUCCAUUGCUUAUAAUUGUUGUAACCAAACAAAUCCCUGGUGCCUGCACUAACACCUUAGCUUCAUUUUCAAUUAAGGCGGUUUUCAACAACUUAUUAACUUUAUUUUUAAAGAAAAAGAAAUCCCAAGUGUUUUUCUCACUAAUUGAUUGCUUAAAAAUACUUAAGAAAAUUACCCACAAAUAAAUUAACGAUAAACAUUUAGUACUAGCUUAUGAUUUUUUUGGGGGGGGGGGGGUUUCUAAUAAAAUUUGGAUUAUUUGGGUUUUAUAUUUGAGAAAAGUUAAGUUACGACGAUCGAUAAUUAUAUACCCUUAAAUAAUUAUUAUCUAAUUUGGAUAUUUUUAUAUCUUAAUGAGUUCGUGUUGAUUUGCCAAUCUUACAAGUCUUUAUUUUACAAAAUAUAGAUAUUUAGAUUGAAAAAAACAUAUAUAUAUAUGUAUGACAGUAUGAGUAGUGUAUAUGUUACAAGAUAUUUUAAAAUUUAAUACUUUAGUUGAGAAAUGCCAUCACCCUCAACUACUCGGUUACAAGAAUAUUAUUGCGUUAUUUAAUAUUCUGUUAUCGAUUGCUUUAUUAGGAAGAAAUAAUGAAAAAUGGGACAUCCAUUGCUAAAGUACAACACAACAUUGUUGACAAGUGAGUCCCCCUUGAAGUGACAACUAUUUUUUUUCUUCCUUAAUAAAGGACGAGCUAUGUGUAUGUGGUUUUGCCGUGCAACCCAAGUUUCAAUGUCUGUAUCAUUUAUAGGGGGAAACCUUAGGUGCAACCCACACACGCCACUCGGCUUUUGGCAGCCUGGUUGAGAGGGCAGCAGUUAUUUUUGUGGGGGCUAAAACAUUCAUUCUUUUUUUCUUUUGUAAUUUUUCAUCUGUGAGGAUUAUUUGUCAAUAUAGAAAUUUGAUACUGUAAUCAAUAUUAAAAAAAAAAAAAAAAGUACCCACACAUACACACAUAUAUCUAAGAAAAUAAAUGAUGAAUACUAUGUAAGAGAAAAUUUGGUAGUUACAGGGUGAACACUUUCUUAUCAAAAUAAUAAUAAUAUAAUAAAUUAGAGACCCUCCUGAAUAUUUCCAACAUGCUUCUCAAAUUGCAUGAGUGUUGGAUUCAUCAACUUAUUAUUAUUAUUAUUAUUAUUAUUAUUAUUAUUUUAUCAUCAAUUGAUGUGCAAAAGGGUGAUGUUAUCAGUUAUCACGGCCUCCUGAGAAAAAAAAAAACUUUAAAUUCAACGUGAAAUGAAAAAUGUAAGGAAUCAAAUCGAAUUGUCAAAAUGAAAUGAGAGGCGAACAAUUUAACUGUUCAGAAAAGAAGCAAAGGCGCCAAAAGCAACGGACGGAACAUAAAAGUGGGUCCCACGUUUCAAAGGGACAAAACCAGAGAAAGCCAAAGCCCACCCCGCAACGAAAGUGAUGCCAAAGCUUACAAUUUGUAUUACCUUAAAAAUUCUGUUCGGUUCAUUUAAAUUUUAUUAUAAAAUCAUUUUCAAAAUUCCAAAUUUUAUAACCAAAAAAUUCGCUGCAUGCAGCGAGAAAGCAGCAAGUGAAGAAUAAAGGGUUCCCCCCGUCAGCAAGAAUCUUUUCUUUUUUUUUUUCGCUUUUUUUUUUCCCUUUGUUUUUUAAGAAAGCAAAAAUUAAGAGAGCAUUAGUUUUGCUGUCAUGAUAAGUAUGGUGUUCAAGAGAGUGUCGGCUAGUGGGAAGUGUUUUGUCAUUCAGUCAUUGUGUUUGCAAUUUUCUUAUGAACCCGUGUCAAUAAAAUGUCUUGGCUUGUGAACAGAAACUGAAAUUGAGCUUCUUUGUGUGUCAGUGAGAUUUACAGUGUCUGUGCAUUGAAUGUAUGGUUGCUAAAUUUUUGCUUUUUUCUUCUUCUUCUUUUCUUUUUUCCCCCCGAAGUGGAUAGUCAAGAAAUAUGAAGAGAUUAUGACUUGAGAUUUUUUUUUAUUUUAUUUGAAGUGAUGAUCUGAAUUAACUGGGCUUUGGUUUCUAUGGUAGAAGUUUUGUUCUAUUUUGUGAGGGGAUUUCUUCAUGAGUUAGGCAAGGAAUUAAUUCGUUUUGAAGUUAGAAUUUAUGUGUUCAAAGUUAGUUUCAAGUGACCUUUCUAAAGUCUUUAAGGUAUAUUGUUGGAAAUUAGCUGGCUUUUUUGUUCAAUCAGUCUCUCAAGAGGUAAGCUCCUUAUGAUCCUUUAGAAGUUUUUAGUUAUGAUAAUGUCGAUUGAUAAAUUAUCUGUAAUUUGUAUAAUAUUUGCAGAGUUUCUGUUGAUCUUGGGAGCUGGCGCUUCUGUAAUUGAGAAGCUAGAGGCAUCACUCUGUUAUCCCAGCGGAUUUUUAAAAGCUCUAGAAUCCCUUUGUGAUUUUCUCUAGUGUUCCUUUUUGUAUGCAUUGAUGGCAAGAGCAUCCAGAUUCAGUCAGUGUGCACUUCUGGUGCUUGCUUACAUUUUGCUUCAGGUCAAUCAUUCGGAGCAACUGCAGUCUUCUCAGGCUCAGACCCUUUUGAGGAUUCAAGGGCUUUUAAACAAUCCAACUGUUUUAAGCAGCUGGAAUAUCACCACUGAGUUCUGCAAUACAGAACCAACCUCGUCUUUAACUGUAGUAUGCUACGAAGAGAGCAUAACCCAGCUGCAUAUAGUCGGCAACAAGAGAGCUCCUACGUUGCCUCUAAGCUUUUCCAUGGAUUCCUUUGUGACGACUCUUGUUAAGCUUCCGGACUUGAAAGUCCUCAGGCUGGUUUCUCUAGGUCUAUGGGGUCCCUUGUCUGGUAAAAUUUCACGUUUAUCGUCACUGGAAAUACUUAAUAUGAGCUCAAAUUUCCUGAAUGGUUCUGUACCUCAGGAGCUUUCAAUUUUAACUAGCCUUCAAACACUCAUACUUGAUGAAAACAUGCUUGCUGGUCGGGUUCCAGAUUGGUUGGGUUCAUUACCGAUUUUGGCUGUUUUGAGCUUGAGGAAUAAUAUGUUCAAUGGGACUUUGCCUGAUUCGUUUAGUUACUUGGAGAAUCUUAGAGUUCUUGCGCUUUCAAACAAUCACUUUUACGGAGAAGUUCCUGACUUCAGUGGUUUGACUUACCUUCAAGUACUUGACUUGGAAAAUAAUGCUUUGGGACCUCAGUUUCCUAAAGUUGGCAAAAAGUUGGUUACAAUGAUACUGAGCAAAAACAAGUUCAGGUCUGCCAUUCCUGCUGAAGUGAGUUCCUAUUAUCAGCUUCAGCGGCUAGAUCUCUCAUCUAAUAGAUUUGUUGGACCAUUCCCUCAAGCACUUUUAUCCUUACCUUCUAUUACUUAUUUGAAUAUUGCUGAUAACAAACUCACGGGGAAGCUUUUCGAUGAUCUUUCUUGCAAUCCCGAACUUGGAUUUGUGGACUUGUCAUCAAAUCUGCUGACUGGACAGUUGCCGGAUUGUCUACUUGCAGGUUCUAAAAACAGGGUUGUCCUGUAUGCUAGAAAUUGUCUAGCAGCUGGAAAUGAAAAUCAACACCCGCUUUCCUUUUGUCAGAAUGAGGCUUUGGCAGUGGGAAUUUUACCUCUGCAAAAGAAGCAGAAACAAGUUUCCAAAGCAGUUCUUGCGUUGAGUAUAAUAGGAGGAAUUAUUGGGGGAAUCUCACUUUUUGUGAUUGCUUUCUUGCUUGUUAGGAGAACUAAGUCCAAGCAAACAAUGAAGAAGACUCCAACAAGAGUAAUUCAAGAAAAUGCUUCAACUGGGUACACCUCGAAGUUCCUCUCAGAUGCAAGUAAGGCUUCAUCUCCCCUUAAUCCCCCUGCCAAGUAAUUCCCAUUCUGUGUUUCUGUUGAAAUCAAGCAUGAAUCUGGGCACACCUCAAAGCUGCUACUGGAGUCAUGCAUUGUGCAAGCUUUAAUGUAUUUAUGCAUGUGUCCACACACAAUGUAGUGUUGCAUUUUUAGGACAUAGGACCGUAAGUUUUAAUUGAAAGGUUGUCUUUGAAUACUCUAUUUUGAUCAUCCAACUUGAAGCCCUCACAUAGAAAUUAUUGACCAGUCAGUUGCAAGAAAUCGAGUGAUGAUUGUGUUCUUGUCUUAAAGCCAGUUAAUAAUAUUCUUGAACUGUUAAAUUGUUGUCCAAGUUUUAAGCUAUAUUAAAAUUGACCAUAUGAUCGUUUGUGCCCCCUGAAGGGUAUAUUUCUCAAACAAUGAAGUUGGGAGCACUUGGUCUUCCAGCUUAUCGAACCUUUUCCUUGGAAGAGCUUGAGGAAGCUACAAACAACUUCGACACCUCUGCUUUCAUGGGUGAAGGUUCUAAAGGGCAGGUAUGCUACUCUGGUACAAUAUAUAUAUGAUGCCUACUUUCAUGUCGCAAUGAUGCACAGUAUGACAGUUCUGACAAUUUGUAUUUUCCCUUUGCGUGAUCCGUUCAAAGAACGGAAAAGGAAAAGUUGGUCCAGCAUUUCUCUACACCUCACAUAUUUCAUGCUUGCAGAUGUACAGGGGUCGCCUGAAGAAUGGUACCUUCAUUGCCAUUAGGUGCCUUAAAAUGAAAAAAAGCCACAGCACUCGAAACUUCAUGCACCAUAUAGAGCUGAUAUCAAAACUCAGACAUUGUCAUUUAGUCAGUGCUCUUGGACACUGCUUUGAAUGCUACUUUGAUGAUUCAAGUGUUAGCAGAAUAUUUCUCAUCUUCGAAUACGUUCCAAACGGCACACUAAGGAGCUGGAUAUCUGGUAAUUCAUGAAAAUCUUUAAUUCGUUUCUCAGGGUGGAGGAUAUAAAGUAAUUAAAGCCACUCUUUUGUACUCCUCUGCUCUAUAAGCCGGCUUUAUGGGGUCUUCAAAAGUAGCUGUGAAUUUUUUAACCUUGAUCCUGCGUGUAGUCAUUGAAUAAAGUAAUCAAUCAGUCUAGAUAGUUCAGUUUCCUGCAAGUAAUUAAUUUACUUAAAGAGAAUAAUUCGUGGUUUUUAAAAUAUAUUGUUCAAAGUCAUCAAGAAAAGACCGAAUCGGAAUCAUGUUCCAUAGUAAUCACAAGAAAUUACUAUUUUAUGUCCUCCAUCCUGACUUGUUGUUAUAUCCAGUUAAUCAAAUUAUGCCUUUAUGUUCUGGCUGGUUUCAAAGUCUUAGAUACUUUUAUGCAGAAGGGCAUGCCUGGCAAUCACUUACUUGGACACAACGUAUAUCAGCUGCAAUAGGGGUGGCAAGGGGCAUACAAUUUUUACAUACAGGGAUUGUGCCUGGUGUAUUUUCAAAUAAUUUGAAAAUAACAGACAUUCUACUAGAUCAGAACCUUGUUGCAAAAAUUAGCAGUUAUAACCUGCCUUUAUUAGCAGAAAAUGCCGAGAAGGUAAAAAGGAGAGAAUCUUCCUUUUCAUCAUUCUGUCCAUCUUUUCCAGUGCCAUGCACUUUUCAGUUGAUUUGUAGCUUGCUUCAUCUGUGCAGGUUGGUCAUGUAACCCCUUAUUCUGGAUCCAUAAAUCCUACAAAUAGUGCAAGGUAGGUAAUUGCUUCAAUAGUCUGACAAAUGUUGUUGCAGUUCAUUAGAAAUAUUAAAAAAUAGGGAUAUUAUCAUUUUUCCACCAAAGGUAUUCUGACACAUCAUGUCAGUACCACGGUUUAGUAAAACUAUCAAUUUACCACCAAACAUUUAAACUGUUAGCAUUUUCUCACCAUUCCGUUAAAACUCAGUUAAUAUGUAAUGAAAAUUUUCUAAAAGGUCAAUUUUACCCCUGGAGCAUAAAAGACCAUGUAAUUAACUUUUUAUGAAUUUUGUAAUUAAAUCAUCAUUUAUUGUUCUUCCUUCUUAAAGGACAAAAAUUACCCUUUAUGAAUUUUGUAAAAUUGACCGUGUGGUGUUAGGUAAUUCAUAAAUUGAUUUAAUUUAUUUAAUUUUUAAAGGGCAAAUUUAUUUAUUUAAUUUUUUGUGUAAAAUUAUUAUCAUCAUAUCAAAGAUUAAAUUGCUUCUUUUGCACUUUUUUUUUUUUUUGCCCUUUCAUAAAUUGAGUUUUAGUAGUAUAAUAAAUUGUCUUUAGCUCGUCAAUUUAAUAAAUAAAUUUGCCCUUUAAAAAUUAAAUCAAUUUAUGAAGUACCUAGCACCACACGGUCAAUUUUACAAAAUUUAUAAAGGGUAAUUUUUGUCCUUUAAGAAGGAAGAACAACAAAUGAUGAUUUAAUUAUAAAAUUCAUAAAAGGUUAAUUACAUAGUCUUUUACGCUCCAGGGUAAAAUUGACAUUUUAUAAAUUUUCUGUUACAUAUUAAUUGAGUUUUAACGGAAUGGUGGGAAAAUGCUAACAGUUUAAACGUUUGAUGGUAAAUUGAUAGUUUUACCAAACCAUGGUACUGACAUGAUGUGUCAGAAUACCUUUAGUGGGAAAAUGAUAAUAUCCCUAAAAAAUAAAAGGAAAAACUAAAAAGGAAGCCUUAACGGGCAACUAAAAUUGCUAAAAAGAAUAUGUUGGGUAUAAACGUAUAAGAUCAUGCACUAAUAAAUCAUGCUGCAUGAAUAUCUACUGCUAUGAGAAAAUAAGUGAUGACAAUCUUCAAAUUUCCUCUAGUUUCUGCUCUUAGAAUUUUCUAGUCAUACAAUUCUACCAAAACAAAUUCAUUCUGAUUUAAAUUGAUGUAAGAACUGUUCUCUCUACACUCUCUUAUUUGGCAGGGGGAAACUUGAAGAUAAGAUUGACAUUUAUGACUUUGGAUUAAUUUUACUAGAAAUUAUUGUUGGGAGGCCAUUAAAAUCCAGGAAAGAAGUGGAUCUUCUGAAAAAUCAGGUAAUGGUUCUGCUUGUUUACAUUACUUUCUUUCAAAAAUCUUUCAUAUCCAUUCUUCUUUCUCAGUCAUCAUGUGAAGAGUUCAGAAUGCCGUGGAAAUUUGAUCACUCUUUGGUGCACAGCUAACACAGUAACACCCUAGGAUUUGUGUUCUAAAAUUGCAUCUACUCGGGCUCUUCUAGAUUUAUGCCAACUCUACUGCUAAAACUUGAAUGUUUCUCUUCUUUGCAUCCUUAAUCUGGUGGCUUACAACUAUGUCAUGUUAACAUAGACCGAAACCUCUUCAUGAUUACUAGCUGGUUACUCAUGACAGCAUACCUUUGACUUUCUGUAGUUACAAGCUGUCAUUACUGCUGAUGAAUCAGCACGACGGAGCAUGGUUGAUCCAGCAGUUAACAAGGCAUGUUUGGAUGAGUCACUGAAGACAAUGAUGGAAGUCUGUGUCAGGUGUCUGCUUAAGAACCCAGCAGAGAGACCUUCAGUUGAGGACGUGCUAUGGAAUUUGCAGUUUGCUGCUCAAGUUCAGGAUGCAUGGCAUUCUCAGAGCAGUGAAGGGUCUCCAAUCUCACCUCCAUGGCCAUCACACCAACACCUUUCCUUUCAUUAGUUGCAACAUUCAGGUCCUUACACUGCUAAAUAUAAACCUGUUAACAAAUCUUUUGAUAUAAAUACACAUCUUAUUUCCUACAAACUCUCCAGUAAAUGUUGAGUUUCUGGUCUUCGAUCUUCGCUUUACAUUGUGCCUACUGAUUUGAAACAAAAAAUUUGAAAUGCAGGACAUGCUGUACGUGGCUUGAUGACAAUUGUGCCUGAACAUUUUCUAUCACUCCUACCUCUUUCCUUCCAUGUAAUUUUUGCGACAAACAACUCUAAAGUUACAGUUGAAGAUGACAUUUUUCAGAGAGACCAAAAGCUAGCUGUCUCUUGUUAUGCUAAACAUCUUGUUUCCAGUUCUCCAUGGUUGGAUCCUAGCACAUAUCCUGGAUUAUAGAUCAAUGGUUGCAGGUCCCGUAUCCCAGUCAAAUCAUCUAUGCAUUUGUUUAAUAUUUUUCCACAAUGAUGAUCAAAGGGGAUAUGUUGUCUGCGUCCAUUACUCUUUCUUUACUAUUGUAAGGUGCAGCUAAAAGUAAUGAUGUACAAGCUUUUUCUAUGUUAUUGUAUACACAUAUCUAAGCCCAAUGUUUUGGCAGGAGAUGGUUGUUCACUUUCGAACGUUUUGCUUCUUUCUGGGAUCCGGGUUGAAUCUCAAAUUUUUACAAUUUACAACCUCAAAAUCGUUUAGCCGUAGGUGUGGCCUGUCAAAAUUCAAGUUUCAAGAUCAGUCUCUAUUUGAAUAACAUUCAGUAAAACCCUACAGGUUUAGUAAGAUAUCGUCAACCUAACGGAAUUCAGAGAUCCAUCUUCAGCCAUUAAUAUUCCAUCCAACUUACAAUGCAAUGAGCGUAUCAGAUAUUGCCAGAACAAGAAGUCUCCAUUCACUAAUUAGAUUAAGACAGGAUUUUAUCCCAAGUCUUAAUCGCAUCUGUUCAAUUUUUCUAUGCAAUCGCUUUCCUAGCUCAUGGCCCCCAUAAUUCGUGGUCCUCUAUGUCAGUUGUCAUCCUCUUGAUCACCUUUAUAUUUCAUUUUUCCUCUUCAAAUAAUAAUGUUUCGAGGUUUCAUGUCCAUGGAUGUCGACAUGCUCAAGCUCGAGGAAACUCCAAAAGGGAGGUAAAAGGAAAAUGAGGUUGUAAUGGAGAAAGGGAAUUUGGUGAAAAAAUAAUCACCAUAAAACACAAUGCAAAAUAAGAGUUACUAAAAGACGGCCAUUCACAACAUUCAAAAAUCCCACAAAAUAAUUCCAGUGAGUAAGAGCUCCUCUGUUUUCCUCUUUUGAGAGUUGAAGAUUGUCUUUAAGACAUCAUUGUACUCCUAUACAAAUGCUACAAAUAAAUUACAGUUAGAUGAAAAAUGUUUCAAAAGUAUAAUUUAAAAAAAAAAUUGAGAAAUUAGCAAGAGGUUCAACCAGAGCUGUCUACAAAUCAUCCAAAGAAAUCCUCUAACUCUGAUAACAAUGCACCUGAAAUCACAUUUAUGAAGGACACCACUAUUGGACAAAUCCAGGGAACAUCGUCACUUCAGAACCAGAGUGCUUUUAUUAGGCUUUUAGUCUGCUGUCCAGCUCUGCUCCACUAUUUCCCGCACUCUUCGGUUGUACUCUCUCUUAUUCUCACUGAACAGCCGAGCUGCUUCAGAGUUUGCAGGAGAGUUUGGAUUUGGAUCACAAAGCAGAGACUGAUAAAGACAUAAGUAGCAUCGGGUUAGCAUCAUCUUGUACAUCCACUGACAACCCCCCAAGCUCAUUUAUUUUAGGAUCAACCAUAACUCACAUGAAAUCUCAUGCAAAAACCAAAUUGUCAAGUGCAAACAUAGCAUAUUUGAAAGCUAUAUUAUUAACCAAUUAUUUUAAAGAACACAUUAUAACCAAACUAUAAAUGUUUGAAAUAUUGAUGAAGAAGCUGAUGCAAGAUUCCAUCAUGUUGUGAGUGAGUGAGUGAGUCAGGGGGGGGGAGGGGAAGAAAAGUCAGUCACAACCUGGUAACAAGGAUAAUUUCAGUUUGAAUAAGCAUGUAUUCUGAUUACCAGCUACCAUCAACAAAGAUCAAAAAGAUAAAAGAAAAUGCCAAAAUCAUAACAAAUACUCCACAAUGCCAUCAUUGUUAUGAGAAAGACAAAUUUGAAAACUUUUCAUUUGCAUUUUAAGUCAAAAGACAAAUUUGAAAACUUUCCAUUGCAUUUUAAGUCAAGUUAAAUAUGGUAAGUACAAUAUCAUGUCUUCUCCCACCAAAAACAAAAAAAAAAAAAAGACAAUAUCAUGUCUUCUCCCACCAAAAACAUAUGGUAAGUACAAUAUCAUGUCUUCUCCCACCAAAAACAAAAAAAAAAAAAAGAUUCCAGAUUAAGAGUGCCAACAGUAAUACUACCUGGGAUACUUGUCAUUGUACGAUUUUGACCCCAUGCACAUGAGUUUAGGAAUGAGCAUGAAAUUUUACAGGUUCGUCUAUGUACAGUAAAAAGUGCUCUAUAUCACAGUUUUAUGUUAGCUUUCGCGUGGAUUAAAAAUUAGAUAACUAGAAUUCCAGCCUUGUUUUGUCUAGUCCAUAGAAACACUUGAAAACAGCCGCAUGUUUGAUACUAAAUCUCAAAAAUCAGUUUGUUUACAGCAUUUUUCAGAUGAGACAACUGACUAUAGAUUCCUCAAAUUUCUUUAAUGGAAAAUACUUAAAAUCAUUCAUAUCAAUGCAUCAAACAGUAAUAUUUAUGUGUCGUAUUUCAGACCAUAAACUUAAACAUCAAAUAAUAAAGUGACCAGGUCAUAAAAUCACAGAUAAAAGAGAAGCAAGAUAUGUUGGGAAGAAAACAAAAGAGAAACACCGUGCAAUUAGUCUUUCUUAUGCACAUAAAAGAUACAAAGGAACACAGUAGGCAAACCAAAUAAUAUGAAGUCAUCAUUUGAUGAAACAGGGACUUUGGUCUAUGCAAACCAGCAGAUUUUCUAUUUCGAAGAUUGUCUUAAAACAUGGAAGAUUCACAUUUAUGUUCAGUUAAUAUAUGAAAACAUAUAUAAUGAUGCAAAAAAAAUGCCUUCACAGUGCAGGCUUGUUGACCUCAUAAGCACUUGGAAUUGCGUCAGGGUAAGACAAUCUGAAAAGCUUUUAGCCACUAAUAUCAUGGGUGUGAUUCAGUUGCCAAUUCAAACUAUCUCCACAUUUCAAUUAAGUAGAAGGACUUAUAAAAAGAAGAAAGGGGGAAACAGGAAACAUAACAAAAAUACGGAAAAGGGGGAAACAGGAAACAUUUAACAGGGGAAACCUUAAAAAAUGUGUUAGUCAUAUUGUCUAUUCUCUUUUCUUUUUCCCCCUUCAAAGCAAAAAAGCAAUUUUCUUUCAAUAACCAACAUUAAUUAUAAGAAAUUACGCAGGCAGAAAACAUCCAAUAUCAAUCAAUGAUUAACAAGAAAUAGAAUCCUUUUCCCACAAUCAAGAAAAAUGAAAGAAAAGUCAAACAAAUUUGCACCUGAAUAGAGGUCAGUAUAGCUGCAACAUCAUAUAUAGGACUCCACUGAUUUUGUAAAAUAUCCAAACAAAUACUUCCAUCUGCAUAGACUGAACAAACCAUAGGCACAAGUCAGAAAUCAGAGUCAAUCAUUACGAAGACCAUGUGCAAUAUAAUAACAAGCAACAUAUCAUUUAUCACCAAAAUUCAAAGAGAACAAUAACAAGAAAAAUAUAAUUAAUAAAUAAAUAGAAAAAUAAUUUACAAAUAACAUACUAUUUGGAUGAAACAUCCGUGAGACGAAACGAACUGUUGGGGGUUUAUUUGGAUAAUCCUCUGUGAAUUGUAGAGUCAACUUGAACGUACCUGAAGAAAUUCAAGAAAAUGCUUAGAUGACAAAUGCAAAAACCUAAAUAUUUCAACUGUAAAGACAAAGGAUAAGGCAUAAGCAAUCAUUUUUGUUAAGUAGGAGUAUUUAGGCCUCAAAUGCGACUGAAAGCAAGGAUAGCACGAUAUAGAAACAGAGGUAUAAUUAUUUACUAAAGCAGAUUGUCCACCAUCAUGCAGCAAUCGAUCUAAAGCCACUUCGGCAAUUAAAAUUCCAUCAAAAACACCAUUUACAUAAUUGGAACGUGAAAGCAUCGUUUACAAGAUAGCUCAUUCUGCUCAUAUUGACAGUCCUUCUGAUCAAAGAUGAUGACAAAAAAAAAAGAAAAAAAAAAGAAAAAAAAAAGAGGUGAUCGAAUUUUCUCAACAUCAAACCGGAAAAAAAAAAAAAAAAAACCACUAACACAAACAUGGACAAGGUAAUUAAAUUGUAACAAUAUAUACAAGUUAUGACCCACAACAGCAAAUACAACACAAGCCAAGAACCAUAGGAAUUCAACCAUGUUCUAUACACAGAAUCAGCUUAGUUACAGGCAAAAUAAAAAAGUCAGCUCAUCAAAGCUUUCGCUUAAUUAUACAUUAAAACUAAUGAACGAAACCUAACAAGCAAAAGCUGAGUGAAAAAUGAAAUCAAAAGCAUAAAAUUAUUUCUAUAAAGUAAAAAGACAAUAAAAUUCCCACCUCCGUCCCAGGGAGUAUCAUCGGGCCUGCAAAACACCACGAAAAAGGAAAAAAAAAUCAAAACAAAAACCAAAAGAAGUACAAAAAAGAAGAAAAGGAAGAAAAGAAAGUGUACCCAAAAAUAACGGCGUUCCACAACAUGAUGUUGUUGUCUUGAGGGGCACCGCUGAUGCCGGCGGGUGGAUCUUGCUGGAGGCGCUUGAAGUCCCGCAUCAGCCGCUUCUUCGCCGGUGUUGACAUGGCGACGUCGUGUUCUACAGAGAGAGAACGAGAGAGGAAAGUUCUAGAGAAAAGAGGGAUCUGAGCAAAAAUCUAAUCUAAAGAAGACUUUGUUGCUGCAUACGAGUUGCCAUGACAUAGCAAUAGGCCCAGGCAAUAGGCAUAACCUGUGCAACACCGCCAGCUAGUUUUGGUUUGUGAAUUGUGAUUGUGAUUUGUGAGUCCCACGCACACACUCUAGUCACAGCCGCCUUCUACUUUUUAUUUAUUACGCGUCGUGGGAUCUGAGCUGUUCAAACUUCAAAUUGUUUUAUGUCAUUUACCGCAAGGGCCACGUAAUUUUGUUAUGUAUUUCGAAAGAAAUUAACCGCCGCCACCACCACCAAAUUACUUUAUUUUUUAAGAAUCAUCCAUUUUACCAGUAAUUGUUUGUAAUGCUGAAAUAUCUUGCAUGGGAGUGGAGAGGAUAAAGUAUCUGAAACUCUUCAAUUUAAUUUAAUCCGAAUUGGGGUUCGCAUCCAGUUCGGAAACUUUUCUCACCCUUCACUGGCCCCAACGUUCAGAUUCUUAUGCUACUAAAUUUUAAUUCUAUAAUAUUAUCCCUCUCCUCUCGACGACCCAUAAAUAAAUACACACCUUAUUUUGAAAAUUUCUUUCCCAUAUUAACCCUCGAAUAAAUGCAGAAUUUUCUGGUCUUUCAUUUUGGCUUGACAUCAUCUAUAAUGGUCUGAUGGGGGCAGUUACAGUACAUGCAUGUAUCUCAUACAUGCAUGCAUAAAAAAUUAUCGUUAGAUUAAAUGGAGUAGAUCCAAUGGUUGAGAUUCAUCUUAGUGUUAAAUAAUAAAAAAAUUUACAAGAAAUGAAAACAUGUAAAACUGGCAACUUGAAACUUUGAACUAAUAAAUAUGAAACAACUACCAUUAAUAUUGAUAUUAUAACCAUUAAACUUGAAACCAAAAUAACUUGAAACUUUAGACAACGAAUAUGAAACUUGUGAUCAUAAACUUGCAAUCUCAAGAAUCAUACAAAUCAUGUACCAAUAAUAUAUGAAACAACUACGAUUAAUCUUGAUAUUAUGACCAUUAAACUUAAAAAUAAAGUAACUUGAAACAUAGGGUAAUGAACAUAAAACUUGAGAUCCUAAAAAUCAUACACAUCAUGAACCAAUAAAUAUAAAACAACUACCAUUAAUAUUGAUAUUAGGAUCAUUAAACUUGAAACUAAAGUAACUUGAAGCUGAGAGCAAUGAACAUGAAAUUUGGGAUCAUUAACUUACAACCCUGAAAAUCAUGCAAUUAAUAGACCAAUAAACAUGAAACACCUACCGUUAACUUGAUAUUGUGACCAUUAAACUUGAAACCACAAAGAAUUUGAAACUGAGGGCAAUACACAUGAAACUCAAGAUCAUAAACUUGCAACCCUGAAAAUCAUGUAAUUAAUGAGUCAAUAAACAUGAAACACUAUUAUUAACUUGAUAUUAGAACCAUUAAAUUUGAAACUAAAAAAACUUGAAACUGAGGGUAAUGAACAUUAAAUUAGGGAUCAUUAACUUGCAACACUGACAAUUAUACAAUUAAAUAGACCAAUAAAUAUGAAACAUCUAUUGUUAACUUGUUAUGGGAACCAUUAAACUUGAAAUCGAGGGUAAUAAAUAUAAAAUUUGAGAUCAUUAACAACCCUAAGAAUCAUAUAAUUAAUGAAUUAAUAAAUACAAAACACCUACCGUUAACAUGAUACCGAUAUUAUUAAACUUAAAACUAUUUUUUUAUUGUUAUCUGACCUAUAUUAGUAAAAUAAGUAUUAUUUUAUUUCAUAAUUUUUUAAUCGUUUAAGGAGCUCCAAGUUCUUUUUCUUUUUUUCCAACUGUUUGGCUGCCAAGUGGCAAUGUUUUUUAAUUUUUUUAUUCCUUGCAUGUAUGUAUGCAUGUAUUAAUUUAUUAUAGCACAGGCCUGAUUGCAAGCAAAAACACUUUAGGGUCCUACGCUCAUCCUGUUCGCUCAUAGCCUAGCAACAACCGAUUCGCGCCUCAAAACAUUUUCUAUCACUCUUCUCUUGCCCCGCCUACGUAAAUUUGGUGACAAUCAUCACCACAAGGUUAACAGUUGAAGAGGAGAGACAAAAAGCUAGCUGCCUAACUGCCAAUGCCUGUUAAGUUACGUCCUGCAUCCCAUCAAGUAUGGUCCUGUAGCCACCUCCUAACUUAAUUGCCUCCCUUCAUCCCUAUUUCAGAGAAUAUAAUUACAAGGUUUCACCUCCAGCAAUGCGGACAUUGUCAAGCUCAAGCAUAUUGAAAAACAUAGAUAAAAAAGAGGGAGGUUAUAAUACAUUCCAACAGUAAUGGAGAAAAAAGGGCUUCAACAGAAUAAGCAAUCACCAUAAAAAUACAAUGCAAGAUGGCCGUUCACAACAUCCAAAAAUCCGACUAAAUAAUUCCAAUGAAAAAGAGCUCCUCUGAGGUUGUCUUAAGACAUACAUCACUGAUUCACUGCAGCAAUAAUACCCCUAUACAAAUGCUACAGAUAAAUUACAGUUACAUGAAAGAUGUUGAAAAGAAGAAGAUGGAAAUGUUGAGAAAUUAACAAGAGGUUCAACCAGAGCUAUCUGGGAGGAAGAAUCUGAAGAGAUUCUCUAAUAACAAUGCACCUGAAAUCAGAUUGAUUACGGAGUACACGACUAUUGAACAAACCAGCCACACCAGCCCCAGUUUUCAUCUUUUAUUUCUACAGCAUAACCGGCCGGUGCUUUCAUUGGACUUUUAGUCGGCUGUCCAGCUUUGCUCCACUAUUUCACGCACUCUUCGGUUGUACUCUCGUUUAUUCUCACUAAACAGCCGAGCUGCUUCAGAAUUUGCAGGGGAGUUUGGAUUUGGAUCACAAAGCAGCGACUGGUAAAGACAUAUAAGUAGUGUCAUGUUAGAAUCAUAAAUACAACCACUGCGAAUCUCACAAGCUCAUUUGCUUCAAGAUCAACCAUCAUUUGUACUAAAUAUCAUUUGAAAACCAAGUUGGCAAGUGCAUACAUAACAUAUUUGAAAGCAAUUGACUAACCAAUUACACCAAAAAAAAUAAAGUUUUGAAAUAAUGGGGAAGAUAAUACAGGGGGCCAACAUAUGGUGACAGAAUCAAUGAAACCUGGUACUAAGGAACAUUUCAAUUUAAUGAAAACAUGUGUACUAACUAACAUCGACAUAGCAAAACAGGAUAAAAUAUCCUGAAAACCAAACAAUGCAAUCCUUGUCAUCACAAGGCAAAUAUGGAAAUGUUCCAAUGCAUUUUAGUAAGUAUUAGAUAUGGUACGUACAACAACACUUUUUUGAAAAUUGGAUAUUGAUGAUCGUCUCAAACAUGGAAGAUUCACUUUUUAACUUUGUUUAAUAUAACAAAAAAAUAUACAUAAUGAUGCAAAAAGGCCUUCACGGUACAGAAAUGUAAGCCGACAGAUGCUUUCGGACGUCAUGAGCACUAAGAUCUUAUUAGGUUCAGAUACUCUUAGAUAUAUUUAGCCAAUAAUAUCAUAUGUUUGACUUAGUUGAGUAUACCAUUCAAACUAUCUCCUCAUUUCCUUAAAAUGGGAGGAAUUACAUAUACACGAAACAAAAGGACAAAACAAGUUACCAGUCAUAUCAUUAGUAUCUUCUUUCUUUGAUGCAAAAGCACAAUUUUCUUGCAAGUUCUCGAUAAUCAGGCAUUAAUUAUAAGAAAUUAAGCACAGUGAAAACAUCCAAUUUCAAUCAAUGAUAAACAAGAAACAGAAUCUCUUUCCAAUAGACAGGAAUGAACAAGAAAAGUCAAAACGAAGUUUCACCUGGAUGGAGGUCAGUAUAGCUGCAACAUCAUAUAUAGGACUCCACUGAUUUUGUAAUAUAUCCAGGCAGAUACUUCCAUCCGCAUAGACUGAUCAAACCAUAGGUAAAGAGUCAGAAAUCAAAAUCAAUCGUUAUCAAGACCAUGAGCCAUAGAAUCCCUAUAGCACAAUAAUCAGCAAAAUUCAAAGAAAGAAUAAUAGCAAGAAACUUAUCAUCAAUAAAACAUUAGCAACAAAAUUUAAAAAUAAGAUAAUGACGUACUAUUUGGAUGAAACAUCCGUGAAACGAACCGAACUGUUGGAGGUUUAUUCGGAUAAUCCUCUGUAAACUGAAGAGUCAACUUGAACGUACCUAGAAAAGUUCAAGAAAUAGCUAAAACAACACUUGCAAAAACCUAUAACUUUCAAGAAAAAGAGACGCUAUAACGAAAUAUGAUAAGUCAUAGGCAAUCAUGUUACUUAAUGGUGGUUCAGGUUUAGUGGGAGUCUUUAUUUUAAGCCUACAAUGUAAAUCAAAGCAAGUAUACCAUAACAUACAACCUAACAUAUAAUUAAUUACAGAAGCAGAUUGUCCACGAUUAGGUAACAAAAAUUCAACAAAAAUAAGCUACAAUCAAAUAUUAGGCAAAACCAAUAAUUCAGCUUAACAAAAGUUUUACAUUUUUACAGCUGAAUGAAAGUAAAAUUAAAAGCAUAAAUAUUUUGUAAAAAUCAAAGAUAAUCAAAUACCCACCUCCGUCCCAGGGAGUAUCAUCAGGCCUACGAAACAUCACCAAAUGAAAAACAAACAAGAAAAUCAAAACAUAAACCAGAAAAGUUACAAGACAAAAACAAAGGUUAAUUAAAACAAAUACCCAAAAAUAACGGCGUUCCAUAACAUGAUGUUGUUGUCUUGAGGGGCCCCGCUGAUUCCGGCGGGUGGAUCUUGCUGGAGGCGCUUGAAGUCCCGCAUCAGCCGCUUCUUCGCCGGUGUUGACAUAGUGGCGUUUUAGAGAGCAAAACUGAGAAGCGGCUUUUGCAGAGGGGGGGAGGGGGGAGAAUGAGAGAAGAAGCUUCUAGAGAAAGAAGAGAUCUGGGCAAAACCUUGUGAGGAUGCUGCAUGCGAGUUAACAUGACAAUAAUGGGCCGGGGCCGGGGUUGGCUGAGCAGUGAGCACCAAUUUUUCUUUUUUUAAUUUUAAUGUUUAACGAUAAAGUUACAAAUUUUUCCACGCAUUUUUAUUUUAUUUUAUAUUGAUAUUAAUUCAAUUCGUUUUAGUCAGUGGGCUGAGGAAAAAUAUACAUAUGGUCCCCACGCCACACACAAGUAGGACACCUAUGUAUUUAUCGAAAUUGACCUUGGCCAAAACUCCUUUCCAAAAUCGUCUUGCAUCCUUCACAUGUUCUCUCAUUGGAAAGCAUGUAGUGCAGCAAUAUGUCAAACACCAGUACACCACCCGCAAAAUUCUACAGAGAGUAUGAGUAUAUUGAGGAAUUUGAUAUUAUGGAUGCAUUUUUGUCCAUAUUUGCAAAUUCCUCAUUUUCUCAAAUGCUUAGCUCAGCACUCCUGUCAUUUAAUGAAAACCAUCAGGGACGAUAAUGAUAUUCGCAAACCCGUAAAUCCAUUCACACCAGUCCGUUGCGGGUUGUGAGCGGGUUUGAUAUUAGGAAUUGAAAUUCGCACUAUGUUGUAGGUGGAUUUAGUAUUAGGUACAUAUCCGAUGGAUACUCACAUGAAUAUCUGCCAAAUCUAUAAUUUUUUUAAUACAAUUUUAAUUAAAAAAAUAAUUAAAUCUAAAAGUAUAUAAAUAAAAUAAAUAUAGAGUGCAAACAUGUCAUGUGUGGUGUGUGCAAGUUGCAACUCAUAACCUAACCUAAAGGAAACCUAACUUAAAGGAAACCCAAACUAUUUCUUUUUCAUCUGUGAGCAGCAGUCGCAAAAUCUAACCUUCUAAACUAUUUCUCUUUCACCCAUGGGCAGUAGCCGCACACCCAUUUUCCUUUCACCCGUGAGCCGCAGCCGCACACCCAUGAAAUUUUCAUGGCAUUUGUGGUUAUUUUUUAUGGAUUUAUAUAUUUCAUACUUAAAAUCGAGAAUUUGUAUAGAAUUGAUGUUGAAAUUUUAAUUUUAUAUUUACAUUGAUUAAAUUUAAAAUUCAGUAUAUUAUGUGGAAUUUUAGCUUAAUAAUAUAAAUUUACAUAUUGAUUUUUAUUAAUAUAACCUUUCGACAGUCAAAUCAGUCACCAGACUUUUGGAAAUAUAAAUUUAGAAGGAGAAAGAUUAGAGAGAGAAAGUUAGACUUUUUACUUUUUGAGUCUAUUUUUUUUCUUACAUUUUAGUGAGAAUGAAAGACAUAUUUGUCGACCAAACGGAUUUGACUUAAGUCUUAGCUAUUUUGAUGACAAAUGUCAUUGCUCUUGUGACAUUUGACAACACUUAUUUUUUAGUACGCAUGUUGAUUGACAUAUGGAUAUACAAACUUAUCUAUAGAUUAAAGGAAAAAAACGUUUUAUCUUUAGGUUAUUUUUACUAAGACCUUGAGAUUAUAGGAGCCUUUAAAUUUAAGAGGUUUGUCCUACGAUAAGAGCCUAGAACCUCAACAUCUUUUGGGCUUUGAAGUCUUAUUACUUAGGAGAAUCAUUCUAGGUGAUUUGUCCACCACUUCGUGGGCUUAAUUGAGAGAAAAUUUAUUAAAUGGGCCUUAUUGAGAUUAAAUUUCUUUGGGCUUUAUUAAAUCUAUUUUAUUUUUGAUCCAACACCAACUUGGAUUUAAGAUUCAACACUGCCUCCUUUAGUUGGAAAGAGUUCAACUUCCCUUCUUAGUUUGUAUAAAAUGUAAAUUUCUUCAUAAUUUAUUAUAUCUAAAUUCUUCACCUUUUGGGGUCAAUUUAGCUACGCUAAUCAGAGUUGACCCCGAUAAAUUUGUAAUCUUUUUUGUUUCAUUGUAUGUUGUUGUGUGUUUAGUCCUCUAUCUAAUACAUCCGUAUCACAAUUGCUUGUACGCUAAUUUCCUACUGUGUAAUUUUUUUAUGUUAUUUCGUUAAUUUCCUCCAACAUGACUCGGGGACAGGCUGCUGCGAGUGGGACUGUGAGGUCUUGCAAUCCAAUUAAUUGGGCAUAGUGAUGGACCAGGACUGUAUAUAAAAGAACUGCUUAAAGAUCGUACAAUCUAGCAUCGGCAAGGCCAGUGCUUUCUAUGUAUUUGAUUACUAUGACUCCAUAAAAAGUAUAUAACAUGUACUGUAAAAUCACUUAAACUGUUAAUUAUUAAGAGAAAACUAAAGAAAAAUCAAGAAACCCUGAACAUAAAACGGAAGUUAAUUUGUUCUCCUGUGAUUGUGAAGUAUCUGAUGAUGAUCAUUAGUAAACAUGAUUGGAAUCUGACUCUCUUCUUCAUCAUCUUCGUCGUCGUGGGCAGGCCUUGAAAGUUCAUGAAGAGGCUCCAUGCUGUGGCAAGAUAGCACUGUCUCAGCUGCAAAGUCGAAGUUGGAAGUAAGGUUGCUCAUGUUGAUGAAGUUUGUGGAGGCCGAGGAGCUGUUUGAGUAAGCAGGCUGCUGUUGCUGUUGAUGCAGUAAUGCAACAUGUUGCGGCUGUUGCGGUUGCUGUGAUGUUUGGAGAGCGUUUGCCAUCGCAAACCUGCUGUUUAAAAGUUGAUUUUGCACCAUUGUUAGCUCUGCUUGCAGGGAGGCCACCUGCAAUUUAAUAUUUAUAAUAUCAAUUGCUUUUCUUAUUGCAGUUUUUGGUUCAAUGGGGGCUAGAAGAAUAAAUUACAGACUUUAAAGGGCUAAAAUAAAAUAAAAGAAAAUCUGUAAUGCUAAAAUGUAAAAUGUUCAAAGUAAUUGAUCAAAUUUCAAUUAACGCCCUUAUUUUUACCAGAAUUUUGUCACCUUUUAUGUGACAUUUCUCAUGAAGCGGUACGCGCAAGAAUUGGUAGUUAAUCUACUCUUAUAUAAAUAAAAUAAUAGUAAUAAUUAAUUAAUUUUUGUAACUGAAACGAGCAUUUGGCUUAGAAACAAAAUUAAUUACUAUCGGCAAAUUAAAACCUGUUGCUGCAGAGCAAGAAUGGUGGAAACACAACCGUAAACCGGGUCGGAGAGGCGGGCCUGGGCCUCGUAAGAUAUAGUAACCACAGCAUCUUGCCGCCGGUUCACCGGAAUGUGUAGCAAGAGCUUGGAUACAUUGCUAGCACCAAAGACUUUGUGCACGGCAGCGAACCGGGCGGCUCCCUGGUCUGAGCCAAAGUGGGGUGCAAAGAUGCACCCACUAACGCACUUUCUCCUCAAGAACUUGCAUGCCCCACAUGGAGCUGCUGGUGCAGGUGCUGACAUGGGCUCGGCCUCUGGCGAGGGCGCGGUGGUGGCACGUUUUCCAGCGCCCCUUCGACGGGGUUCGGAUAUGGGGUCGGGCUGUUGCUCAGCCAUUUUCUGGGGUGGGUUAGGCUCAGAGUUUGUUCAAAACGGAAAGGUGGUGGAGUUG
This 71881-nucleotide long non-coding RNA is filed under the name Citrus sinensis (sweet orange). RNAcentral describes it as "long non-coding RNA (CSIN_LNC002323)". Lineage: Eukaryota; Viridiplantae; Streptophyta; Magnoliopsida; Sapindales; Rutaceae. The record is from RNAcentral.